Molecule: long non-coding RNA, 56643 nt
Filed under: Triticum aestivum (bread wheat)
Lineage: Eukaryota; Viridiplantae; Streptophyta; Magnoliopsida; Poales; Poaceae
Description: long non-coding RNA (TAES_LNC010705)
Source: RNAcentral
UGUGUUAAAUCUUUUAUGGAUACCGAUAUUUUCCGUAAGUUUAGCACUAAAUAUGGACUUGAUUCUGAGAUAGUAGCUUCUUUCUAUGAAUCUUUUGCUACUUAUGUUGAUCUCCCUAAGGAGAAGUGGUUUAAAUAUCAUCCUCCCAUAGAAGUAAAAGUAGCUGCACCUAUUAAAGUUUAAGAAAAGACUGUCACUUAUAAUGAUCCUAUUGUUCCUACUUGUUAUGUUGAGAAACCACCUUUCCCUGUUAGGAUAAAGGAUCAUGCUAAAGCUUCAACUGUGGUUUGUAAAAGCAAUAUUAAAACAUAUACACCUCCUGAGCAAGUUAAAGUUGAACCUAAUAUUUCUAUUGUUAAAGAUCUCUUGUCUGAUAAUAUUGAUGGGCAUGUUAUUCAGUUCUGCGGUGAAACUGCUAGAAUUGCUAAACCUUGUGCUAAAGAUAAAAAUAGACCUAUGGUAGGCGUGCCUGUUAUUUCUGUUAAAAUAGGAGAACAUUGUUAUCAUGGCUUAUGUGAUAUGGGUGCUAGUGCUAGUGCAAUACCUAUUGACUUAUACAAAGAAAUUAUGCAUGACAUUGCACCUGUUGAGUUAGAAGAAAUUGAUGUUACUAUUAAACUUGCUAACAGAGAUACUAUUUCACCAAUAGGAAUUGUUAGAGAUGUUGAAGUCUUGUGUGGGAAAACUAAAUAUCCUGCUGUUUUUCUUGUUCUUGAUUCCCCACAAGAUAGCUUUUGUCCCAUUAUAUUUGGUAGACCCUUCUUAAAUAUUGUUAAUGCUACCAUAGAUUGCACAAGGGAUGUUGUUACUGUCGGCUUAGAUGAUAUGACUCAUGAGUUUAAUUUCUCUAAAUUUAGUAAACAACACCAUGAAGAAGAAUUGCCUAGUAAGGAUGAAAUUAUUGGUCUUGCUUCUAUUGUCGUACCUCCUAGUGAUCCUUUAGAACAAUAUUUGCUAGACCAUGAGAAUGAUAUGUUUAUGAAUGAAAGAAGGGAAAUAGAUGAAGUAUUCUUUAAACAGGAACCUAUUCUAAAACACAAUUUGCCUGUUGAAAUCCUAGGGGAUUCCCCUCCACCUAAGGGUGAUCCCACGUUUGAGCUUAAACCGUUGCCUGAUAAUCUUAAAUAUGCUUAUCUUGAUGAAAAGAAGAUAUAUCCUGUUAUUAUUAGUGCUAACCUUUCAGAGCAUGAAGAAGAAAGAUUAUUGAAAACUCUGAAGAAGCACUGUGCUGCUAUUGGAUAUACUCUUGAUGAUCUUAAGGGCAUUAGUCCCACUCUAUGUCAACAUAAAAUAAAUUUGGAAGCAGAUGCCAAGCCAGCUUGUGAUCCUCAACGAUGUCUGAAUCCUAAAAUGAAAGAAGUGGUAAGAAAAGAAAUACUAAAGCUUCUGGAGGCAGGUAUAAUUUAUCCCAUUGCUGAUAGUCAGUGGGUAAGUCCUGUUCAUUGUGUCCCUAAGAAGGGAGGUAUUACUUUUGUUCCUAAUGAUAAAGAUGAAUUGAUUCCACAAAGAAUUAUUACAGGUUAUAGGAUAGUAAUUGAUUUCUGCAAAUUAAAUAAGGCUACUAAGAAAGAUCAUUACCCCUUACCUUUUAUCGAUCAAAUGCUAGAAAGAUUAUGCAAGCAUACACAUUACUACUUUCUAGAUGGUUAUUCUGGUUUCUCUCAAAUACCUGUGUCGGCUAAAGAUCAAUCAAAGACUACUUUUACAUGCCCUUUUGGUACUUUUGCUUAUAGAUGUAUGCCUUUUGGUUUAUGUAAUGCACCUGCUACCUUUCAAAGAUGCAUGAUGGCUAUAUUCUCUGACUUUUGUGAAAAGAUUUGUGAGGUUUUCAUGGACGACUUUUCCGUCUAUGGAUCUUCUUUUGAUGAUUGCUUGAGCAAUCUUGAUCGAGUUUUGCAGAGAUGUGAAGAAACUAAUCUUGUCUUGAAUUGGGAAAAGUGCCACUUUAUGGUUAAUGAGGGUAUUGUCUUGGGGCAUAAAGUUUCUGGAAGAGGUAUUGAAGUUGAUAAAGCCAAGGUUGAUGCUAUUGAAAAGAUGCCAUGUCCCAAGGACAUCAAAGGUAUAAGAAGUUUCCUUGGUCACGCCGGAUUUUAUAGGAGGUUCAUUAAGGACUUCUCAAAAAUUUCUCGGCCUCUGACUAAUUUAUUACAAAAAGAUAUACCAUUUGUCUUUGAUGAGGAUUGUGUAGAAGCAUUUGAAAUACUUAAGAAAGCAUUAGUCUUUGCACCUAUUGUUCAGCCACCUGAUUGGAAUUUACCCUUUGAAAUUAUGUGUGAUGCUAGAGAUUAUGCUAUAGGUGAUGUUCUAGGGUAAAGAGUUGAUAAGAAAUUAAAUGUUAUCCAUUAUGCUAGUAAGACUCUAGACAAUGCUCAAAGAAAUUAUGCUACUACUAAAAAAGAACUUUUAGCAGUUGUAUUUGCUUGUGAUAAGUUUAGACCUUAUAUUGUUGAUUCUAAAGUAACUAUCCACACUGAUCAUGCUGCUAUUAAAUAUCUUAUGGAGAAGAAAGAUGAUAAACCUAGACUUAUUAGAUGGGUUCUCUUGCUACAAGAAUUUGAUUUGCAUAUUGUUGAUAGAAGAGGAGCUGAGAACCCCGUUGCAGACAACUUAUCUAGGUUAGAGAAUGUUCUUGAUGACCCACUACCUAUUGAUGAUAGCUUUCCUGAUGAAUAAUUAAAUGUCAUAAGUACUUCUCGUAGUACUCCUUGGUAUGCUGAUUAUGCUAAUUACAUUGUUGCUAAAUUCAUACCACCUAGCUUCACAUACCAACAAAAGAAAAAGUUCUUCUAUGAUUUGAGACAUUACUUUUGGGAUGGCCCACAUCUUUAUAAAGAAGGAGUAGAUGGUGUUAUUAGACGUUGUGUACCUAAGCAUGAACAGGAACAGAUCCUACACAAGUGCCACUCCGAAACUUAUGGAGGACACCACGUGGGAGAUAGAACUGCACAUAAGGUAUUGCAAUCCGGUUUUUAUUGGCCUACUCUCUUCAAGGAUGCCCGUAAGUUUAUCCUAUAUUGUGAUGAAUGUCAAAGAAUUGGUAAUAUUAGUAGAUGUCAGGAAAUGCCUAUGAAUUAUUCACUUGUUAUUGAACCUUUUGAUGUUUGGGGCUUUGAUUAUAUGGGACCUUUUCCUGCCUCUAAUGGAUAUACACAUAUUUUAGUUGCUGUUGAUUACAUUACUAAGUGGGUAGAAGCUAUUCCAACUAGUAGUGUUGAUCAUAACACUUCUAUUAAAAUGCUUAAAGAAGUUAUUUUUCCAAGGUUUGGAGUCCCUAGAUAUUUAAUGACUGAUGGUGGUUCACAUUUUAUUCAUGGUGCUUUCCGUAAAAUGCUUGCUAAAUAUGACGUCAAUCAUAGAAUUGCAUCUCCGUAUCACCCACAGUCUAGUGGUCAAGUAGAAUUGAGUAAUAGAGAACCCAAAUUAAUUUUGCAAAAGACUGUCAAUAGGUAUAGAAAGAAUUGGUCCAAGAAACUUGAUGAUGCAUUAUGGGCCUAUAGAACUGCAUAUAAAAAUCCUAUGGGUAUGUCUCCGUAUAAAAUGGUAUAUGGAAAAGCAUGUCACUUACCUCUCGAACUAGAACAUAAGGCAUAUUGGGCUAUUAAAGAGCUCAACUAUGAUUUCAAACUUUCCGGUGAAAAGAGGUUAUUUGAUAUUAGCUCACUUGAUGAAUGGAGAACCCAAGCUUAUGAAAAUGCCAAGUUGUUUAAAGAAAAGGUUAAAAGAUGGCAUGACAAAAGCAUACAAAAGCGUGAGUUUAAUGUAGGUGAUUAUGUAUUGCUAUACAACUCUCGUUUAAGAUUUUUUGCAGGAAAACUUCUCUCUAAAUGGGAAGGCCCCUAUGUUAUCGAGGAGGUCUAUCGUUCCAGUGCCAUAAAAAUCAACAACUUUGAAGGCACAAAUCCAAAGGUGGUAAACGGUCAGAGAAUCAAACAUUAUAUCUCAGGUAAUCCCAUAAAUGUUGAAACCAAUAUUAUUGAAACUGUAACCCCGGAGGAAUACAUAAGGGACACUUUCCAGAACGUUUCAGACUCCGAAAAGGAAUAGGUAUGUGGUACGGUAAGUAAACCGAUUCCAAAACAGUUUUUAAGGCAAUAUUUCUCCGUUUUGGAAUAUUUAGAAAAAUAGAAAAUUAAGUAGCAGUCCGGGAAGGACACGAGGGUGGAGGGCGCGCCCUACCCCCCUGGGCGCGCCCCCCUACCUCGUGAGCACCUUGUGUGCCUUCCGGACUCUGUUUUCCAGCAUGAUACGUAUUUUGGUCGGUAAAAAUUCACUAUAUAUUCUCCCGAAGGUUUUGACUCCCGUAUCACGCAAUUAUCCUCUGUUUUUGUUUUGAGCUGUCCCGCUGCAGAUUAGAUCAACAUGUCUUCCCAGGAUUCGGAAGGAGAAAGCUAUGUGGAUGAUUACUUAGCUAAUCCUAAGGUCUAUGGAGAUGUGGAGCAUGAUGGUUGGACCACGGAGGAAGAAGAGGACUAUGAACCCAAUGGGAAGGAGGAGACGAGCUCAGAUGAAGAUGAAGCCCCAUUGCCUCAACCUGGGGAUAUGCACGUGGAGUUCAAAAAGUCAAGUCUCCCUGAUAGGGUAAAGAAACCAAAAUUCGAGUUUACCCCUUUUCGUCUCUUGCAGGAAAAUAAGCAGGACCUAUGCAAAAAGAUAUUAACCCUGGAGUGGGAGAUUGAUGAUCUGAGGGAUCAAAAUGCCAUCCUCAAGCGUAAAUUAAGGGAGAAGUCUAUGCCAUCAACUAAGUCAACAACACCUCCACCUUCUUCACCAACCAAGGAGAUAUAAUCACAUGGGUAUGGGCACUCCCCUUGGCAACCGCCAAGCUUGGGGGAGGUGCCCCGGUAUUGUAUCACAAUCACAACUCCUAUCUUUACUGUUUUCCUUAGUUCAAUCCUAUUAGUAGUAUUUUGAUCUAGUAGAAUAAAGUUUGUGGCAUGAUCUAGUUUUGAGUUUUGCCUUAUGAUCUCUCUACGUAAUUGAGUCCGUGAGCUAUAUAAUAAAGACUAGUGUUGAGUCAACGGCUUGAUUUUCUUGCUAUGAUCUUGGGUGAAUAAAAGAAAAGAGAAAAAGAAUAAGAAGAAACAAGAGAUCAUAUUGAUCUUAUUGAUAGUAAUGACUUCACAUAGAAAGAGUGUGACGAUUAAAAGUUGUUGGGAGUUGGCAGACAUAGCUUUGGUCAUCGUUGCAAUUAAUAGGAAGUAAUAAGGAAAGAGAGGUUUCACAUAUAAAUAUACUAUUAUUGACAUCUUUUAUGAUUGGGAGCACUCAUCAAAAUAUGACAUGCUAAAGAGUUGAUGUUGGACAAGGAAGACAACGUAAUGGGUUAUGUUUUCUUAUAUCUGAGAUAAAGUAUGUUGUCAUGGAUCAUCCAACAUGUUGAUCUUGCCUUUCCCGCUCAUGCUAGCCAAAUUCUCAGCACCAAGUAGAGAUACUACUUGUGCUUCCAAAUACCCUUAAACCAGUUUUGCCAUGAGAGUCCACCAUAUCUACCUAUGGAUUGAGUAAGAUCCUUCAAGUAAGUUGUCAUCGGUGCAAAGCAAUAAAAAUUGCUCUAAAUAUGUAUGAUUAGUGUGGGAGAAAUAAUCUUUAUACGAUCUUGUGAUGUGGAAGUAAUAAAAGCGACGGACUGCGUAAUAAAGGUUCAUAUCACAAGGGGCAAUAUAAAGUGACGUUGUUUCGCAUUAAGAUUUUGUGCAUCCAACCAUAAAAGCGCAUGGCAACCUCUGCUUCCCUCUGUGAAGGGCCUAUCUUUUAUUAUUACCUUCUACCUUAUGCAAGAGUCAUGGUGAUCUUCACCUUUCCUUUUUACAUUUUAUCCUUUGGCAAGCACAGUGUGUUGGAAAGAUCCUAGUAGAUAUAUCUAAUUGGAUGUAGGGGGGCAUGAGUUAUUAUUGUUGACAUUACCCUCGAGGUAAAGGUUGUGGGGCGAAACUAUAAGCCCCUAUCUUUCUCUGUGUCCGAUUAAAACUCCGUAACCACAAGUAUUGUGUGAGUGUUAGCAAUUAUGAAGGACUCGAUGAUAGUUGAGUAUGUGGACUUGCUUUUUAGCUCUGACAUAGACUCUUUCUGAUGUUAUGAUAAAUUGCAAUUGCUUAAAUGACUGAGGUUAUAGUUUGUUGGUUCUCAAUAAGGUUUCUGAUUCAUACUUUUGCAUUGUGAAUAGAUCAUCACUUGAACAUAAGUAAUCAUAUGACAAUAUCUAUAUAUGUUGCUGUUAUGAGAAUAAUCAUGAUGCCUUCAUGUCCGUAUUUUAUUUUUAUCGACGCCUCUACCUCUAAACAUGGGGACAUAUUUAUUGUUAUCGGCUUUCGCUUGAGGACAAGCGAGGUCUAAGCUUGGGGGGUUGAUACAUCCAUUUUGCAUCAUGCUUUUAUAUCGAUAUUUAUUGCAUUAUGGGCUGUUAUUUCACAUUAUGUCACAAUAUUUAUGGCUAUUCUCUCUUAUUUUACAAGGUUUACAUAAGGAGGGAGAAUGCCGGCAGCUGGAAUUCUGGGCUGGAAAAGGAGCAAAUAUUAGAGACCUAUUCUGCACAAAUCCAAAAGUCCUGAAACUCCACAGAAUACCUUAUAAUAAAUAAUGAAAAAUCCAUGCCAAAGAUGAAGACCAGGGGGCCCACACCCUGUCCACAAGGGUGCCCCCCCCCUAGGGUGCACCCCCUACCUCGUGGGCACCCUGGUGGCUCUCUGAUGACCAUCUUCUGCUAUAUGAAGUCUUUCAUCGAGAAAAAAAUAAGAAGCAACCUUUCGGGAUGAAACUCCGCCGCCACGAGGCGAAACCUUGGCGGAACCAAUCUAGGGCUCCGGCAGAGCUGUUCUGCCGGGGAAACUUCCCUCCCGGAGGGGGAAAUCAUCGCCAUCGUCAUCACCAACACUCCUCUCAUCAGGAGAGGGCAAUCUCCAUCAACAUCUUCAUCAGCACCAUCUCAUCUCAAAACCCUAGUUCAUCUCUUGUAUCCAAUUCUUGUCUCCAAGUCCGGGAUUGGUGCUAGUAGGUUGCUAGUAGUGUUAAUUACUCCUUGUAGUUGAUGCUAGUUGGUUUAAUUGGUGGAAGAUCAUAUGUUCAGAUCCUUUAUGCAUAUUAUUACCCCUCUGAUUAUGAACAUGAAUAUGCUUUGUGAGUAGUUACGUUUGUUCCUGAGGACAAGGGAGAAGUCUUGCUAUUAGUAGUCAUGUGAAUUUGGUAUUCGUUCGAUAUUUUGAUGAGAUGUAUGUUGUCUAGCCUCUAGUGGUGUUAUGUGAACGUUGACUACAUAACACUUCACCAUUAUUUAGGCCUAGAGGAAGGCAUUGGGAAGUAAUAAGUAGAUGAUGGGUUGCUAGAGUGACAGAAGCUUAAACCCUAGUUUAUGCGUUGCUUCGUAAGGGGCUGAUUUGGAUCCAUAUGUUUCAUGCUAUGGUUAGGUUUACCUUAAUACUUUUGUUGUAGUUGCGGAUGCUUGCAAUAGAGGUUAAUCAUAAGAGGGAUGCUUGUUCAAGUAAGAACAUCACCCAAGCACUGGUCCACCAACAUGUCAAAUUAUCAAAGUACCGAACGCGAAUCAUAUGAACGUGAUGAAAACUAGCUUGACGAUAUUCCCAUGUGUCCUCGGGAGCGCUUUUCCUUAUAUAAGAGUUUGUCCAGGCUUGUCCUUUGCUACAAAAAGGAUUGGGCCACCUUGCUGCACUUUAUUUACUUUUGUUACUUGAUGCUCAUUACAAAUUAUCUUAUCACAAAACUAUCUGUUACCACUUAUUUCGGUACUUGCAGAGAAUACCUUGCUGAAAACCGCUUAUCAUUUCCUUCUGCUCCUCAUUGGGUUCGACACUCUUACUUAUCGAAAGGACUACGAUAGAUCCCCUAUACUUGUGGGUCAUCACUCACCUCGGGCUCCCUCUUCGGUACUUCUUUGGCCCACUGGGUGUCUUCUGGUCCAAAAAAAUCCACAAAAAGUUUUGUUGCGUUUGGACUCCGUUUGGUACUGAUUUCCUGCGAUGUAAAAAACAUGGAGAAAACAACAACUGGCACUUGGCACUAUGUCAAUAGGUUAGUACCAAAAAAUGGUAUAAAGUGAUUAUAAAACAUCCAAGAAUGAUAAUAUAACAACAUGGAACAAUAAAAAAUCAUAGAUACGUUGGCCAAAGAAUAUUUACAAGUAUUAGCAGUUGAGUUGUCAAUUCAACCACAUUUGGAGAACUAAAUAUCUGCAGCAAAGUGAUCAGUAACACAAUAGUAUGAUAGUUUGAUAGCAAUGGUAACAAUAGCAAUAGUAAUGGUAACAGUAACAGCUUUGUAGUGAUUGUAACAGCAGCAUCAAUGAUAAUUACUUAGCAAAGAUCAAUGUAUGAAAAGCAUAGGCAUUGGAUCAGUGAUGGAUAUUUGUGUUGGAUGACGUUCAUCAUGUAACAGACACAACCUAGAGUGAUACACAAUAGCUCCAAUUCAUCAAUGUAAUGUAGGCAUGUAUUCCGUAUAUAAUCAUACAUGCUUAUAAUAAGCACUUGCAUGACAUCUUUUGUUCUACCCUCACAUGGCAGCGGGGUCCAUAUAAGGAAACUAAGGGAUAUUAAGACCCCCUUUUAAUAGAGAGCCGGAGCAAAUCAUUAACACAGAGUGAAUACAUGAACUCCUCAAACUACGGUAAUCACCAGAAAGAAUCCCAAAAUUGUCGCUUUGGGGUAUGCAGAUCAUAACAUGUCAUAGGUGCAUAUAACUUGCAAGAUAGGAUUAAGAACUCAAAUAUAUGCAUGAAAACAUAAAGGGUUAAGAUCGGAAAUCAUGGCACUCGAGCCCUAGUGAUGAGCAUUAAGCAUAGCAAAUUCAUAGCAACAUCAAUCUCAGAACAUAGUGGAUACUAGGGAUCAAGCCCUAACAAAUUGACUCGAUUACAUGACAAAUCUCAUCCAACUCCAUCACCGUCCAGCAAGCCUACGAAGGAAUUACUCACUCCUGGUGGUGAGCAUCAUGAAAUUGGUGAUGAAUAAGGGUUGGUGAUGAUGAUGGCGAUGAGUCCCCCUCUCUGGAGGCCCAAGCGGACUCCAGAUCAGCCCUCACGAAGAAGAACAGGAGGUGGCGGCAGCUCCGUUUCGUAAAACGAUGAUUCCUUCUCCCUGAUUUUUCUCCCUGAAUAGGUAUAUAUGGAGCCAGAGUUAGGGUUGUCGGAGGCUCUAGGGGCCCACAAGCCUGCCAGGCGCGCCCCUUGGGCUUAUUAUGGCACCUGGGUGGCCUGCUACUUGUGAGCUACGUUGGGAUUUCCUCGAAGAGGAGAGGAUGAUGCAGUAUAGUAGAGAUAAGUAUUUCCCUCAGUUAAGAACCAAGGUUAUCAAUCCAGUAGGAGAACCACGCAAAACCUCGUUAAUAACACCUACACACAAAAGAGCAAAUACUUGCACCCAACGCAAAUAAGGGGGUUGUCAAUCCCCUUGGCAGCUAUUUGCAAGGAUCAAAUCUAAUAGUGAUAGAUAGAUAAUAUAAAACACAAAAUAAAAUAAUGGUAAACAAAUUACAACAAGGUAUUUUUGGAUUUCAAUAUAUGAUAAAAGUAGACCCGGGGGCCAUAGUUUUCACUAGAGGCUUCUCUCUCGAACGAAAAGCAUACAGUGGGUAAACAAAUUACUGUUGGGCAAUAAAGCGCAUAAUUAUGACGAUAUUCAAGGCAAUGAUCAUGUAUAUAGGCAUCACGUCCGAGACAAGUAGACCGAGUCCUGCCUACAUCUACUACUAUUACUCCACCCAUCGACCACUAUCUGACAUGCAUCUAGAGUAUUAAGUUCAUAAGAAAUGGAGUAACACCUUAAGCAAGAUGACAUGAUGUAGACAAAGUAAACCCAAUCAAUAUUAAUAAACCCUGUCGUUUUCCCCUUAAUGGAAACAAUACAAAUACAUGUCUUGUCCCCUACCUUGUCAUUGGGAUACAGAGCACGACAAGAUUGACGCAUUACAAAGCACCUCUCCCAUUGCAAGAUAAAUCAAUCUAGUUGGCCAAACCUAACAGAUAGAUCAGAGAGAAAUACAAAGCUAUAAUAAUCAUGCAUAAAAGAAUUCAGAGAAGACUCAAUUAAUAUUCAUGAAAAAUAUGAUCAUAAACCCACAAUUCAUCGGAUCCGAGCAAACACACUGCAAAAGAAGAUUACAUCGAAUAGAACUCCAAGAACAUCAAGGAGAACAUUGUAUUGAAGAUCAAAGAGAGAGAAGAAGCCAUCUAGCUACUAGCUAUGGACCCGUGGGUUUAUGGUAAAGUACUCACACAUCAUCGGAAGGGCAGCAAUGUUGAUGUAGGAGCCCUCCGUGAUCGAUCCCCCUCCCGUGGAGUACCAGAAAAGGCCUCUAGAUGGGAUCACGGAAGAAAAGAAACUUGCGGCAGCGGAAAAAGUAUUUUGGAUGGCUCUCUAUUGGUUUCCAGAUUUUAGAGAAUUUAUAGAGCUAGAAUUAGGUCAAACGAAGCCUCGAGGGACCCAAAGGUACUAGGGCGUGCCCUAGUGCCUUGCUGUCUACUCGUUUGCCUUCUGGUCUCUUCCCGGAGCUUCUAGGGUCUCUCUUGUCACUAGAGACUUCUCUCUCGAACAAAAAGCAUACGGUGGGUAAACAAAUUACUGUUGGAAAAUUGAUAGAAAAGCGUGAAGUUAUGAUAUAUCUAAGGCAAUGAUCAUGAAUAAUCAUGAAUAUAGGCAUCACGUCCGUGACAAGUAGACCGACUCCUGGGCAGGAGUCGGUUUACUUGUCACGGACGUGAUGCCUAUAUUCAUGACCAUUGCCUUAGUAAUUUGUUUACCCACCGUAUGCUUUCUUCAAGAGAGAAGCCUCUAGUGAAACCUAUGGCCCCCGGGGUAUAUUUUUCAUCAUAUAUUUUCAGAUCUAUAAAACCAAAACCCCAAAGAUACCUUAAUAUAAUUUAUUUAUAUUUACUUUAUUUUGCCUUCUAAUUAUCUUUUAUAUCUAUCUCUAUUAGAUCGCACUCUUGCAAGUGGCCGUGAAGGGAUUGACAACCCCUUUUUUGCGUUGUGUGCAAGUGUUUGUUAGUUUGUGCAUGUGCAUAUAUUGGGGACUUGCUUGUACCUCCUACUCGAUUGAUACCUUGGUUCUUAACUGAGAGAAAUACCUAUCUCUACUUUGCUGCAUCACCCUUUCCUCUUCAAGGAAAAAAUCAACGCAAGCUCAAGAAGUAGCAAGAACGCCUGAAUAGAGGUAGAGAGGUGCCACUCGGAUUCCUCGCUAUCACCGUGCCAUUGCGAGCAUGCACAACCACCAUAUUGUGGAUCAAAUCCUGAUAAGGAUGAUGGAAGGUGCAAAUUAAGAACAGAAGGAGAAAACCAAUAUUCUCUCAAUAUUGAACAAAAUUUCAACUCACCCAUAGAUGCAACAUGAACCUAGGCGAUUGAAUCUCUUGUUCAUGAUGUAAUGAAAAAUAGGAUGAUGCCAAUGAGGUUAGGAUUUGAGACACCUCUUACCAAAGGAAGCAGAGAUACAAGAGAAUGUGCAGAUUUCUUUUGUUGAUAACGACAAACCAGAAGUUGCAGAGGUUAGAAUAUAAGGAAUCACUCAGAUAUGGAGAGGAAGCAGGUUCGUCCGACGCAGUGGGGUAAGGUCUGGUGGGUGAGGUGCAACAAGAUCAGGCGUCGUGCGUGGAUGGUGAGGUGGCGGCAAACCAGGGGCCAAAUGUGCGGCGCGUCGGUUGACGCAGUGGGCGACGAUGUGUGGGCACCCGGAAGAAGCUGGCUCGUGCGUCCCCGACGGUGGCUCGCGUUCCUGGCAAUGACAUGCGCCUCGGGCGUCCCAACGGCGGGCCCUUGCACUAAUAGGGAAAACCUUAUACACAGAAGCUUACCAGUAGCGCCGGUAAAAAAAUCGUUGCUGCUAUUUACCCAUAGCGCCUAGUCACAAAACGCGCUACAACUAAGGUUAUAGCAGUAGUGCUAAAACGAUCGAUAUGGUUGGCUAGAGGGGGGUGAAUAGGCAACUAACAAUUUUUAACUUUUCUUUACCAAAUUCAACUUUGCAUCAAAGUAGGUUGUCUAGAUGUGCAACUAGGUGAGCAACCUAUAUGAUGCAACAACAACGAACAUACAAGCAAGCAAGAGAAGUAACACUAAUAAGCUUGCACAAGUAAAGGUAAGAGAUAACCAAGAGUGGACCCGGUGAAGACGAGGAUGUGUUAUCGAAGUUCCUUCCUUUGAGGGGAAGUAUGUCUCCGUUAGAGCGGUGUGGAGGCACAAUGCUCCCCAAGAAGCCACUAGGGCCACCAUAUUCUCCUCACGCCCUCACACAAUGCGAGAUGCCAUGAUUCCACUAUUGGUGCCCUUGGAGGCGGCAACCGGACCUUUACAAACAAGGUUGGGGUAAUCUCCACAACUUAAUCGGAGGCUCCCAACAACACCACGAAGCUUCACCACAAUGGACUAUGGCUCCGUGGUGACCUCAACCGUCUAGGGUGCUCAAACACCCAAGAGUAACAAGAUCCGCUAGGGAUAGGUGGGGGAAUCAAAUAUCUCUUGGUGGAAGUGUAGAUCGGGGCCUUCUCAACCACUACCGAGCAAAUCAACAAGUUUGAUUGGCUAGAGAGAUAGAUCGGGCGAAAAUGGAGCUUGGAGCAUUAAUGGAGCUUGAGGGGGGAAAGGUAGGUCAAUGAAGAAGAAGGGGACCCCCUUUUAUAGUGGGGGUAACAAUCCAACCGUUACCCCACAAAACAGCCCCGCAGAGGGCGGUACUACCGUAGUGGGCAGUGGUACUACCUCUCCCCCUUACGGUACUACCACCCAGACAGAGAGAGCAUGAAGGCAGAGGAGGGGCUGGCCCCGCGCGGUACUACAGGACAGACCCAGCGUGGUACUGCCGCGGUGGCAGGGCGGUGCUACCGCUCUCGAGCAGUACUACUGCACCUACUACCGCUGCAGGUGCCGCUCAACCCGACAUGAGAAGUGCCCCCCUCGAGUCGAGGCAGCAGUGGCCCGGUACCGCAGCGGUACUGCCGCUGAGGACGCACAAGCGGUACUACCGCUGGGCACCGCGGUACUACCGCUGGGGCUAAAGACGGCUCAAUCUGCAGGGGAAAAGACCUCCAACGAUGCGGGAAGGCCCAGAGGGUGCGAAAUGAAAGUGUACGUGAUGAUUCCACCCUAGUCAUACCAAAGUGGACCCCCUCUUGAUAGUACGGUGACUCCUAAGAAACUAGUCCACCAACAAGAAACGAAAGAGCUACACCGUCUUGAAAAACACUCCGAGGGGAAAGAAAUCAUCUCGAGCCAAAGGAUGAAUCUCUGAAACGCUCAACACACAAGGUUAGUCCGCAAAUAUGUUGUCAUCAAUCACCAAAACUACAUCGAGAGAGAUAUGCCUUAACAAUCUCCCCCUUUUUGGUGGAUUGAUGACAACCAGGGAUUUUCACAGGGAAAAGACAUAAAAGUCAGGAUACUUAGAACUACAAAAUAUAGACGGGCUCCUCCUGAAUGUGUGCACCUAGUUAGUAGUGCCUUUGGAAUGCACGACACACACAUUCGGAUCAACACUCCCCCUAUAUUUUAUAGUCCAAAAUUUUUAAGCACGGGAUACAUGAGAGCAGGGUAAUAAAACAGGAUAAGCAUGCAACUCAUAAGAUACUACAGUACUGAAUAGACAUAGAUAAUAAGGUAAAGAUAGGGUAGCAUAUGUCUCACACCAUAUGUCUAGAACUUAGGUCUCACUGGCACCAAACCAAACCAAGCAAAGACAACGAGAAAACACAAGACACUACAAACCACAAAGACACACUCGCAACACGGCAAAGACACAAAUCCCGAAACUCUCUCCCCCUUUGGCAGCGAGACACCAAAAGGGCAAAGAGCGUUGCUACGGCUCCAGGUGAUGGCAAGCUAAGGAUCUCGAACAUCACAUCUCAGCGUGAUCGUCUGCACCUCCGUCGUCAGUCGAAAACUGCUCGGCGUUUGAAUCGGUCCAAGGGCAAUGCUGGUGAAUCCAUUCCUCCUCUUCAGUGAUCUGGCCCUCAGAACCGCUAGCAACGGUCGCACCCAGCUGACGCAUGAGCUCCUUGUGACGCCCCCUGGCCUGCUUCUCAGCCACAUGAGUCAUGUACUGACCAUGAGACUCCAGGCAGAAGAGCUUCUUCAUCUUGCGUUUAAGCUUCUUUGCCCAAGAGGGUUCUGCACUAGAAGGCCCAAAGUCCUCAUCGUGAUCAUCAGCCGCAGCCCCACCCUCGAUCUCCAUGUCAGCAGCAGUAGAUGGACCCCCGGGUUUAGGCGCUGGGGUGCCCCAAUUGUCCUUCUUCCUCAGACGCUUGAUCUCAUGAGAAACCAAUUCUCCAGUUUCCAACAUCUCCUUGGGAUAGACACAUGCCCAGGCCUUCUUAAUGAGCCUCAUGAUGAAUGGACCAUAUAUCGGGCACUUGCGAUCAGAAAUGGCAGAGAGAAGUUCAGACCACAUAACAUGAGAAAUGUCUAGGCACUCUCCAGUGUUUGCUUCCUUCUCAUGCUGGCAGAAAAGAAGCAUGUCCACGAGAUAGGAGUGGACCAUAUCCAGAUUCCCGAUGUGAGGGAAGAGAGUCUCACGGAAGACACGAUGAAGGAUGUCCAUAUAGGCAGACAGCUCAUGUGUUUCCUUCUUAGUCACCGGGUGAACCUUCACAGUACAGUAGGGCCAAAGGGCUUGCUUGUGAGUGGAUGUAGCAUUGUGGUGAGGGCGGAAGCCGACUGGAGUCUCAAGCCCGUGAUCUUCCACCUCAAUUAAUGCCAUGAAGGCCUGCCACUUGACGGAAAGUAACUUGCCAUUGGUCAUCCAAGUCAGAGUCCUGUCGGCAUCAGUUCCAAGAUGAACAGUAGCAAAGAAUUGAGCCACCAAAUCUGCAUCAAAAUCCUUGUUGAACUGCAUGAUCCUGAGAAUGUUCAGCUGAGAACACAUCUGAAGGGCUUAGCCAAAGAACUCAGGGUCCUUCUCCAUAGCAUCCGUGUCGAUGGAGCGUACAUCAACAUAGAGAUUCUUCUUGGCCUUGAUCACAUCAAAAUAGAUGGAAAACUGAAAGCGAUUCUAGAGCGGGCGGUUAACCAAAGUGGGAUCUUGGUCUUCCUCAUAGGGGUUGCGGCGACGCUUUGCCCAAAACUCCUUGGCAGUCAUCUCAGUCACAGUCUUUCCCUUUGGCUUGUUGGCGGAUCUCUUUGACUGCUGAGGUGGUGGUGGAGCACUUGAGGUUGCGCCUGCUGGCGGUGGUUGAGUACUAGAGGAACCACUUGCUGACUCAGAAGUGCGGUAGCGCUUUGACGUUGCACGACCGGGGUUGACACGGCGGACCUGCUGCUCAGGAUGAUCAUCACCUGAAACCAAACACACGACCAGAAGAAACACACGAAAGAAAGAGCAUAAGCCACUAAACAAAACAACAAGGAUCAAAGCGUGGUAGGAAAAAGAUGGAAUUGGGCAUUUAGCGGUAGUACUGCGACCAACCAGCGGCAGUACCGCUCCAGCGGUAGUACCGUGAAACAAGAGCGGCAGUACCGCUUGAGCGGUAGUACCGCUCGAGGAGAGCGGUAGUGCCGCACCAGAUGGGGAACGGCGGUUCCCUACCACCGUGGUCAGAUCCGGCACUACCGGAGAUGCCAAAUUCAAAAAGAAACCUACCAAAAUUCUAUCCACAGUGCCUAGAAGCCAUAUCCAUCCUACUCAAGCCUUGCCUUAGCCAAAAGACGGGAAGAACAAUGCCUAUUGCCCCUAAAAACUAGAUGCAAGAUCUAGGCAAAGAGAGAACGGGAACGGGGGCAAUACCGGCAUCCAUGGCAAGAGGACGAGGUGGGGAUUGACUCCACCGGAGGAAAUGGAGAGGGACGGCACAAAAACGACGGCCGGCCGGGCCCCUCCUACGGCGAGAGGUUGCAGGAGCAACGAAGAAGACGAGUGGGGGCGAAUGGGUAUGGGGGAGAAGCAACUCCCCAUGCCCCGACAUAACCCCCAGUCGCCCACCCCGCGGCGGUAGUACCGCUGGGUGGGCGGUAGUACCGCUUGACUUGUCAGCGGUAGUGCUGCUCACACAGCGGUAGUAUCGCUCUGCCGCAAAAAGGGCCGACCAAACCGGGCAGAACACACGAGAGGAAACCGAGACAAAACAAGAACUCACACACACACAAAACUGACAAAAAUAAAAGGACACACACCUCUCCAAGAGAGGACGGUGGCCGAGGCCACCUAUGUUCGAGUUUAGAGGUAUGGCGCCGCGAAGAUUUUAACCUUGGGCCCAUGACCAACACUCAUCUUUGAAGCACAAGUACCAUAAAAAAUGGCUAAUGUGAAAGAGUUUGGUUAGUUUAUGCAUUAUGGGGGAAGGGAAAGUUCAUUGAUAGAACAACACUCCCCCUAUGUCCAUGCCUACACCUAAACUAGUGUGACGCCCCCGAUUCAAUCGUACACUAAUCAUGCACGCAAAUGUGUACGAUCAAGAUCAGGGACUCACGGGAAGAUAUCACAACACAACUCUAAAACAUAAAUAAGUCAUACAAGCAUCAUAAUACAAGCCAGGGGCCGCGAGGGCUCGAAUACAAGUGCUCGAUCAUAGACGAGUCAGCGGAAGCAACAAUAUCUGAGUACAGACAUAAGUUAAACAAGUUGCCAUAAGAUGGCUAGCACAAACUGGGAUACAGAUCGAAAGAGGCGCAGGCCUCCUGCCUGGGAUCCUCCUAACUACUCUUGGUCGUCGUCAACGGGCUGCACGUAGUAAUAGGCACCUCUAGUGUAGUAGUCGUCGUCGACGGUGGCGUCUGGCUCCAGGGCUCCAGCAUCUGGUUGCGACAACCAGGAAGGAAGGAAAGGGGAAAAAGGGGGGAGAAAGCAACCGUGAGUACUCAUCCAAAGUACUCGCAAGCAAGGAGCUACACUACAUAUGCAUGGGUAUAUGUGUAAAGAGGCCAUAUCAGUGGACUGAACUGCAGAAUGCCAGAAUAAGAGGGGGAUAGCUAAUCCUGUCGAAGACUACGCUUCUGGCAGCCUCCGUCUUGCAGCAUGUAGAAGAGAGUAGAUUGAAGUCCUCCAAGUAGCAUCUCCAAGUAGCAUAUCCAGGUAGCAUCUCCAAGCGCAUCUCCAGUCGCAUCGCAUAGCAUAAUCCUACCCGGCGAUCCUCUCCUCGUCGCCCUGCGGAAAAGCGAUCACCGGGUUGUCUGUGGAACUUGGAAGGGUGUGUUUUAUUAAGUAUCCGGUUCUAGUUGUCAUAAGGUCAAGGUACAACUCCAAGUUGUCCUGUUACCGAAGAUCACGGCUAUUCGAAUAGAUUAACUUCCCUGCAGGGGUGCACCACAUAACCCAACACGCUCGAUCCCAUUUGGCCGGACACACUUUCCUGGGUCAUGCCCGGCCUCGGAAGAUCAACACGUCGCAGCCCCACCUAGGCAAAACAGAGAGGCCAGCACGCCGGUCUAAACCUAAGCGCACAGGGGUCUGGGCCCAUCGCCCAUAGCACACCUGCACGUUGCGAGGGCGGCCGGAAGCAGAACUAGCCCCCUUAAUACAAGAGCAGGCUUACGUUCCAAUCCGGCGCGCGCCGCUCCGUCGCUGACGUCUGAAGUGCUUCGGCUGAUACCACGACGCCGGGAUACCCAUAACUACUCCCACGUAGAUGGUUAGUGCGUAUAGGCUCGUAGCCAGACUCAGAUCAAAUACCAAGAUCUCGUUAAGCGUGUUAAGUAUCCGCGAACGCCGAACAGGACCAGGCCCACCUGUGUCCUAGGUGGUCUCAACCUGCCCUGUCGCUCCGCCACAAGUAACAGUCGGGGGCCGUCGGGAACCCAGGCCCACCUCUACCGGGGUGGAGCCACCUAUCCUUUCAGCCCCCAACUCUGAACAGUAUCACAGGUAAUGUAACAGUGUAAAGUAUAUAGUAUAUGCCCGUGAUCACCUCCCGAAGUGAUCACAGCCCAGUAGUAUAGCAUGGCAGACGGACAAGAGUGUAGGGCCACUGAUGGAACACUAGCAUCCUAUACUAAGCAUUUAGGAUUGCGGGUAAGGUAUCAAUGACUGUAGCAGCAAUGACAGGCUAUGCAUCAGAAUAGGAUUAACGGAAAGCAGUAACAUGCUACACUACUCUAAUGCAAGCAGUAUAGAGAAGAGUAGGCGAUAUCUGGUGAUCAAAGGGGGGGCUUGCCUGGUUGCUCUGGCAAGAGAGAGGGGUCGUCAACUCCGUAGUCGAACUGGUCAGCAGCAGCGUCGGUCUCGUAGUCUACCGGAGAGAAGAGGGGGAAGAAAUAAUGAAUACAGAGCAAACAAAGCACCACAAAAUAUAUCAAGGCAAUACGCGGUGUUCGGUGUGCCCUAACGCGGUAGUAGGUGAUACCGGUGAAGGGGGGGAAACCCCCGGGAAAGUAUUCCCGGUGUUUCGUGUUUUCGGGCAGAGGAGCCGGAGGGGGAAAGUUGCGGGUUCGAUAGGUUAGGGGUGUGUGGCGGACGAACGGACCGCGUAUCCGGAUUCGUCUCGUCGUUCUGAGCAACUUUCAUGUUGAAAAUAUUUUAAUCCGAGUUACGGAUUAAAAGAUAUGAUUUUCUAAAGAUUUAUUAAUUUCUGGAAUUUAAUUAAUUAUUUAAUCCAACAUUAUCCAGAAUAGUAAAUGAUGACGUCAGCAUGACAUCAGAGUGAUGUCAGCAGUCAACGUUGACCAUUGACCUGGUCAACCUGACGUGUGGGUCCCUCUGUCAUUGACUAAGAUUAACUAAAACAGAUUAAUUAGUUUAAUUAGUGAUUAGGUUAAUCUAAUCAGGAUUAAUUAACUUAAUUAAUUACUUAAUUAAUUAAUUAAUAUUUUACUUAUUUUAAUUACUAUUUAUUUAUUUAUUUAAUAUUUUUUAAUUCCUUUUUUUUUACGUUCUAGGGGACGGCCCCACAUGUCAUAGGCCAGGGGCCAUAGCGGGUGUGGGCUAACGGGUUAACGGGCGAGCCCAGAUGGGCAACCGAGCGGGCGUUGUGGUCAGCGAGAGAAGGGGCGGGCGCGCGGCGCGACGCCGGCGAACGCAGAGGCGGGGUUGUGGUGUGAGGGUCGGGCGUGGUGAACGGGACAGCACGGGAGCCGGGUUGGCACGGCGCAGCGGCUCCGACGAGCGGUGGCGAGGGGACGAGGUCCAACAGGGCACAGCAGAAGCAGUUGCAGCAGCUAGGAGCAGGGGGGCACGGCGGGGCGCAGUGACCGCGGGCGUGGCCGGACCCCAUCGAGGGCGCGGUGGCCGCGAUGAUAGAGAGGAAAGGGGGGCGAGGAAGUAGGGAAGGCGAAGGCCGGGGGCCUCACCAACGUUGCAGGGAAGAGGCAGCGAGGCCUGGGGUAGACCGUCGACGAGGAGAUGAGGAGGUCCGGUGGGAAGGUCUGGCGACGGCGAGGCCUUCAGGCGGCGAGGGAGGAGCCUCUGCGCGGCGGUGGCGCGAGGACGCCGAUAGGCGGGGGAUCCCCCGGCGCGGGCGCGGCAGCGGUGGUGGGGCUCCGGUGCGGCAGGGGAUGGCGAUGGGGCGCAGGUGCGACGGCGGCGGGGCUGGGCGACGGGCGGCAUCGGGGUCGGGCCCCUCCCCGAUCCAGAUGGGAUCGAGAGGAGAGGGGGGAGAGGGAGAGGCGAGCGAGUGGGGGAGUGGGGGUAUCGGUGGGUUAGGGUUUGGCCAGGGGGGGCUAGUAGGCGCGGGUGGGCCGGCUUGGUUGGCCCGAUGGCCAGUUGGGCCGAGGCCUAGUGGGGGGGAGGGGGCAGGCUUUUGUUUUUUUGUUAGGUUCUGCUUUUCUUUUUAUUUAAUUGUUUUGUUGCUUCCAUCCACUAUAAAAUAUCUAGGCAUUUUAUAAAAAUGUGUUUAUUGCACCAUAUUUACAUAUGCAAAUUAUGGCACCGUCCGAACAUUUUUGUUUAAUAUUUUGAAAGCUUUUGUCGUUUGACUUAGUUAGGAUUUAAAUUUGAAUCGGUUUCGAAUUAACCCGAGAUUAACUACAGUGACAGAGGUGACGUGUCACCAUUAACGUGAAAUUACUGUAGCAUGAUUAUCCGGGCGUCACAAUUCUCCUCCACUACAAGAAAUCUCGUCCCGAGAUUUAAGCGGUGGAGUAAGGGGCGAAGGUGUUGGUAGCGAAAAACCUAACGAGUCUUCUCGGUCUUGGCUUCCCUUUCGAAGAGGUUGAUCCCUUUCGUUGAUGUCUUCAUUUCACUGCUUCAAGUCACCAUGAUCAAUUUGUCAUCCUUUCUUCGGGAUCUCCAUCGUACUUACGAAUAGGUAAGGGGCAGCUCCACAACGAUAGGAUGUUACAAGGGAAAAUCUUCUGGGGGUUUCCCAAGUAUGAACAUAUGAGUAUCUCUCGAGUUGAACAAAUGAAACACAUCGAGAGCAAAGUAAGACGGUGCAAUAAGAAGUUUCAAGCGGAUAGGCAAUCGUUCAUUGCCUGAAACAAAGUGUGAAUGGGGUUCAGAGCAACGGGAAUAAGCAUUGCGUCUGAUACCAGAAUAGAUCACUAGGAAGGUGGCUCGUGAUCUUUCAUACGAAGCCAAGCGUGAGGAUUAGCUUUAGUAACAGGGGUGCAGGAGAGUCAGGUUUCGAUCCUGUGGAACUGUGGGUUAUGGGCCCACCAUGUGGUUGAAAGUAGGAAGGGGGCCAACAUUUUGCACGGUCAUGAUAGUAAGGUGUGUCAAAGGGUAGCCUGUCAGAUAUGUCGGCAACAACAUCGAUACCAAGGGCGAGGGACGAAGAGAACCAUUUUCCUGCUCGUUGAACAAGGCGGGCCAAUAGGCAAAGUUCUCGUCCAUCGGUGGUUACCGGAAUGUUUUCAACAGUAGUAACAGGGUCUUGCUGACAGAGUUGUACACCAAGGGGUUUACAUAAGCAGGAGAACAUUACUGCUUAGAUCAUAUAGAUCACAAGAAAGGUUAAACAAAACAAUGGAAAGGAAAAGGUGAUCAUCAGAUCAAAUAGAACAAUGGAAUGGAAAAUAUGUUUAUACACCUAUUUUAGGGGUAUAUCCUUCCCAAGGACAAGCAGAACAUGAUAACCAUGACAUGAUAUUAAGUAGAAAAGCCUCUAGGUGAGGGGAGAGAAAUUUUCAUGACAUUAUCCAUACAGCGGUGUUUGGAUAAUUGAGCAAGAAACGUUUAGCAUUGGGCUUCAAAUGUUCUUGUUGAAACAUCGGAGUAACAUAGACAUGCUUCGAGAUAGAAUUGACAUGGUCUUCAGGUGAAGAUCAAACUUUGGAAACACGAAGGAUCCAUCAGGAAUAACUUGUAGAAUAAGUCUUACAAUUUCCCCAUGGAUGAACGGAUAACCUUGCUGAAAAGGAAUCUAUAGUGAUUGGUCCUCCAGCCGAGGGGGGGGGUGCUAGGCAUGACAUCAUGUUACCGGGUCAUCAAAGGAUCAACAUCAUAACUCUUGGAAAAUGUCCCAACCAUCAUAUCUGACCGAGAUUCAGAUCCGAUUGGUGUCAGGAUACCUCAGACUCAGGAUGUCCGAGAAGAAAAGCUGCGGCACAUAUCGACGAAAUGACAUUGUAAGAUUCUCGGGAAAUGAACUAUGGGAGCGGGUUCCUGAAACAAUAGUUCAUCAUUAAACCAAGGAGAGGACAAGGAGGUGUCUGGUGAACUCAACGGCAAUUCACCGAUAUUCCCAAAAGAUGGAUUUCCACCAUUAGGUGAACAAGGAGAUAACAUUUGUCAGAUCAAAUGAUAUAAGGAAGUAUGCUCGAGGAAAACAUACACAAUUAAACAUUGGUUGAAAGGUGCGCCCGAAAUGUGGAUUGGGUUGCACGACCAAUGUCAGAAUGGUGAUUCAAUUAGCGAAGGACUUAGAAUGAACUAUCGAUCAUUAACUUCAAAGCAAUAGGGUUGCUAGAAGUGCAUAAUCCAAACAACACCGUUCACUUGUGGGUACCCCGGUUGGAAUCAACACGAGGACCAAGAAAGAAUGGUGAUGGUGAGAAGUAUCAUUAUAGUAAGAAUUCUUAAGAGGUGGAGCAAUCCUCACAACAUUCUUAACAUCAAAGAUGGUAAUACUCCGCGGUAGAAUAUAACAUAAGUUGGAUAGCAAGGAACUCAAGGUACAACACAAUACAGGAACAAGUUUUGUGUUGGAGGGAAUGCAAUAAUGUUGUCGCUGAUAACACCAAUCAUCGAGGGCAAGGAUGGUAUUUCUCAUCAUGAUUUCAAUAGAUCUCUUGGAAGAGCUCAGAAUGUUGAUGAUAUUCACGACACAUUUGUCGCGAGAGUUCAUGAAGAUGUAAUCGAUCGGUGAUGACAUCAAGUCAAAGUAAUGAUAAAGUGAAAGGUUAUUGGAACCAAGGGUACGACACAAACUCGAAACCAAGUUUGUUGUUUAAGGUGAAAGGGUAUGACGAGGAAAAUCGACGUAAGCUUAGCUAUCGUCGCAAAUUGUGCCCCGAGAAGAAGGACCGGGUAGCACAGUUAAAAUCAUCACUACAAUGAUAUAGCCAAACAGGCUAGGAAUGGCAUGAUCGGGUACAAACUCGUACUUAUAGAAGCUUACUGAAGAGUUGUUGAACCGUAGUGCGGACUCGGUUCAGUUAUCGGUGUCUUUGAGUGUUCAAUAACUCAGAGCCCGCGAAAAAUUGGAAUCAGUGGGAAGGUAGCACUUGAUGAAGAACUCAUAAAAAGUUAUGCAGUUCCAUGAUAAUCUCGAGAUACCAGGGGGGUAAUACUCGACACAAGAUCAAAGUAAAUGUUGGACUGGUGUAUUGAUCCAUAGAAGACAAUUAUUUUGACUUGUCCGAGAAAGGAGAACAAAGAAGAACAAUCAUGGUCGGAACCACGGUUGCAAAAGGCCAGAUCCUAGAUAUAAGAUGAACUUAUACCAAAGGAAUAAUUUAUUUAAGAGAAGCUUUAAUGAUAAGAUCUACAUCGUGUCCAUGGGCAUGAACACAAGUUCAAGGUCGACUCCCACUUCUCCAAAGCAUAACCUUACAUUCACUUCUCGUUUCGAUAAUGGCAUUAGUGUUGAAAGUUAUACCUGGUGAAAUACCAGAUGAGUAUGACCCAUGAAAACUUCCGAGUUCACACAUAGUAAGGAAGGCAUAGGUUCAACCCAUCAGGGCGUCUUACGAACAUAUACCACAAACUUCGGGGUAAAUAAUACAAGCUCGAAAGUAGAGCAUUGUUCAAAAGCAGAUGAUACAAUUUACCAAGGCAUUAUAUACCCAUGGAAAGGCUCUCACGGUUAUUCAAUAUGAAGGACACUGUCGGAUAAAAUCCAACAAAGGAACCGAUGGUCCACAAGGGAUCUGAGGUGAGCACCGGUACUCAACCAGAGGAAGAAGAAUGCACGGGCAUCAUAUUAUAGAACAUCGGAAUGAUUCGAUGCUUAGAUAAUAAAGGAAUUUCGAUUUCCAAAACAAAGGAUCGGAAGCAGUCGCUCUGAUCAAGGAUGGAUAAGUUGGAUAUACCAGAGGCACAAUUGACGACAAAUAGUUUGGUCGAGAACCAGCUCAUGUUCAAAAAUGAUGUCUGAGCCGGAAGGAUAAUUUAGAAGGGUUGAUAGAUGAUUGUGUGCAUUCGCACACAUGCUGAAUCAAUAGGAUCAAAAUGACGAUGCCUAAGGAUACUAACGAAUAUUGCCAGACAUAUGGAAAGCAUCCAUAAUGCAAGCAGACAAGUAUUGCAGAGCAAUAAGCUAUUAAGGAUUUUUGGAGGAUCAAAUAGUAUUUCGAAGACCAUUGUGAAACACAUGAACAACUGGGGGAUGAGCGGAUACUCGAUAAGUGCGAGAAUUAUCCAUAGGGGUAUUCAGGUGACAAGGAACAGCAAGGCGAUAAGCUCAAAGGAUUAUCGAGACAACGACGAGUGUUUCGAGGUAUCUGGUAAUAACAAGACCAACUGGGGAUGAAUGUAAGAAUAACAACUGCAAGUAGUUAUCCAUAAGGGUUGACGGUGGAAGGGUAAUUGCAAAUGCGAUGAACAUAAGUUCUCGGGUUAACAACGGAGAGUAUCUUCAGGGUCUUCACGUGCCGCAGACGAUCAUCAUUAAUAAGGGGCUCUCCGGGUGAAAGUGAUAACGAGAUCCUAAUGUUAGAUUUAGCAAAAAUCAUUUAACCCGAAUAGAAGAGAAAUAAGAGUCCCAGAGUAUAGGUCGAGGAAUAAAAGAUCCUAAUACCACCCAAUGGCGACGUGGGCCCGUAAGGCACACAGCCAAGUUAGUAAAAGUUUUGCCAUGGCUAGACUCAACUUCGGCCGAGGAGUUGGAAAGGGGAUUCCUACAGGUAGUCGGCUCUGAUACCAACUUGUGACGCCCCCGAUUCAAUCGUACACUAAUCAUGCACGCAAAUGUGUACGAUCAAGAUCAGGGACUCACGGGAAGAUAUCACAACACAACUCUAAAACAUAAAUAAGUCAUACAAGCAUCAUAAUACAAGCCAGGGGCCGUGAGGGCUCGAAUACAAGUGCUCGAUCAUAGACGAGUCAGCGGAAGCAACAAUAUCUGAGUACACACAUAAGUUAAACAAGUUGCCAUAAGAUGGCUAGCACAAACUGGGAUACAGAUCGAAAGAGGCGCAGGCCUCCUGCCUGGGACCCUCCUAACUACUCUUGGUCGUCGUCAACGGGCUGCACGUAGUAGUAGGCACCUCCAGUGUAGUAGUCGUCGUCGACGGUGGCGUCUGGCUCCAGGGCUCCAGCAUCUGGUUGUGACAACCAGGAAGGAAGGAAAGGGGAAAAAGGGGGGAGAAAGCAACCGUGAGUACUCAUCCAAAGUACUCGCAAGCAAGGAGCUACACUACAUAUGCAUGGGUAUAUGUGUAAAGAGGCCAUAUCAGUGGACUGAACUGCAGAAUGCCAGAAUAAGAGGGGGAUAGCUAAUCCUGUCGAAGACUACGCUUCUGGCAGCCUCCGUCUUGCAGCAUGUAGAAGAGAGUAGAUUGAAGUCCUCCAAGUAGCAUCUCCAAGUAGCAUAUCCAGGUAGCAUCUCCAAGCGCAUCUCCAGUCGCAUCGCAUAGCAUAAUCCUACCCGGCGAUCCUCUCCUCGUCGCCCUGCGGAAAAGCGAUCACCGGGUUGUCUGUGGAACUUGGAAGGGUGUGUUUUAUUAAGUAUCCGGUUCUAGUUGUCAUAAGGUCAAGGUACAACUCCAAGUCGUCCUGUUACCGAAGAUCACGGCUAUUCGAAUAGAUUAAACUUCCCUGCAGGGGUGCACCACAUAGCCCAACACGCUCGAUCCCAUUUGGCCGGACACACUUUCCUGGGUCAUGCCCGGCCUCGGAAGAUCAACACGUCGCAGCCCCACCUAGGCAAAACAGAGAGGCCAGCACGCCGGUCUAAACCUAAGCGCACAGGGGUCUGGGCCCAUCGCCCAUAGCACACCUGCACGUUGCGUACGCGGCCGGUGAGCAGACCUAGCAACCUCCAUUACAAAGGAAGUUGCGUUAACGCAGUCCAACCCGGCGCGCGCCGCUCCGUCGCUGACGUCUGAAGUGCUUCGGCUGAUACCACGACGUCGGGAUACCCAUAACUACUCCCACGUAGAUGGUUAGUGCGUAUAGGCUCGUAGCCAGACUCAGAUCAAAUACCAAGAUCUCGUUAAGCGUGUUAAGUAUCCGCGAACGCCGAACAGGGCCAGGCCCACCUGUCUCCUAGGUGGUCUCAACCUGCCCUGCCGCUCCGCCACAAAGUAACAGUCGGGGGCCGUCGGGAACCCAGGCCCACCUCUACCGGGAUGGAGCCACCUGCCCCUUCAGCCCCCAACUCCGAACAGCAUCACAGGUAAUGUAAUAGUGUAUAGUAUAUAGUAUAUGCCCGUGAUCACCUCCCGAAGUGAUCACAGCCCAGUAGUAUAGCAUGGCAGACGGACAAGAGUGUAGGGCCACUGAUGGAACACUAGCAUCCUAUACUAAGCAUUUAGGAUUGCGGGUAAGGUAUCAAUGACUGUAGCAACAAUGACAGGCUAUGCAUCAGAAUAGGAUUAACGGAAAGCAGUAACAUGCUACACUACUCUAAUGCAAGCAGUAUAGAGAAGAGUAGGCGAUAUCUGGUGAUCAAAGGGGGGGCUUGCCUGGUUGCUCUGGCAAGAGAGAGGGGUCGUCAACUCCGUAGUCGAACUGGUCAGCAGCAGCGUCGGUCUCGUAGUCUACCGGAGAGAAGAGGGGGAAGAAAUAAUGAAUACAGAGCAAACAAAGCACCACAAAAUAUAUCAAGGCAAUACGCGGUGUUCGGUGUGCCCUAACGCGGUAGUAGGUGAUACCGGUGAAGGGGGGAAAACCCCCGGGAAAGUAUUCCCGGUGUUUCGUGUUUUCGGGCAGAGGAGCCGGAGGGGGAAAGUUGCGGGUUCGAUAGGUUAGGGGUGUGUGGCGGACGAACGGACUGCGUAUCCGGAUUCGUCUCGUCGUUCUGAGCAACUUUCAUGUUGAAAAUAUUUUAAUCCGAGUUACGGAUUAAAAGAUAUGAUUUUCUAAAGAUUUAUUAAUUUCUGGAAUUUAAUUAAUUAUUUAAUCCAACAUUAUCCAGAAUAGUAAAUGAUGACGUCAGCAUGACAUCAGAGUGAUGUCAGCAGUCAACGUUGACCAUUGACCUGGUCAACCUGACGUGUGGGUCCCUCUGUCAUUGACUAAGAUUAACUAAAACAGAUUAAUUAGUUUAAUUAGUGAUUAGGUUAAUCUAAUCAGGAUUAAUUAACUUAAUUAAUUACUUAAUUAAUUAAUUAAUAUUUUACUUAUUUUAAUUAUUAUUUAUUUAUUUAUUUAAUAUUUUUUAAUUCCUUUUUUUUACGUUCUAGGGGACGGCCCCACAUGUCAUAGGCCAGGGGCCAUAGCGGGUGUGGGCUAACGGGUUAACGGGCGAGCCCGGAUGGGCAACCGAGCGGGCGUUGUGGUCAGCGAGAGAAGGGGCGGGCGCGCGGCGCGACGCCGGCGAACGCAGAGGCGGGGUUGUGGUGUGAGGGUCGGGCGCGGUGAACGGGACAGCACGGGAGCCGGGUUGGCACGGCGCAGCGGCUCCGACGAGCGGUGGCGAGGGGACGAGGUCCAACAGGGCAACAGCAGAAGCAGUUGCAGCAGCUAGGAGCAGGGGGGCACGGCGGGGCGCAGUGUCCGCGGGCGUGGCCGGACCCCAUCGAGGGCGCGGUGGCCGCGAUGAUAGAGAGGAAAGGGGGGCGAGGAAGUAGGGAAGGCGAAGGCCGGGGGCCUCACCAACGUUGCAGGGAAGAGGCAGCGAGGCCUGGGGUAGACCGUCGACGAGGAGAUGACGAGGUCCGGUGGGAAGGUCCGGCGACGGCGAGGCCUUCAGGCGGCGAGGGAGGAGCCUCUGCGCGGCGGUGGCGCGAGGACGCCGAUAGGCGGGGGAUCCCCCGGCGCGGGCGCGGCAGCGGUGGUGGGGCUCCGGCGCGGCAGGGGAUGGCGAUGGGGCGCAGGUGCGACGGCGGCGGGGCUGGGCGACGGGCGGCAUCGGGGUCGGGCCCCUCCCCGAUCCAGAUGGGAUCGAGAGGAGAGGGGGGAGAGGGAGAGGCGAGCGAGUGGGGGAGUGGGGGUAUCGGUGGGUUAGGGUUUGGCCAGGGGGGGGGGCUCGUAGGCGCGGGUGGGCCGGCUUGGUUGGCCCGAUGGCCAGCUGGGCCGAGGCCUAGUGGGGGGGAGGGGCAGGCUUUUGUUUUUUUGUUAGGUUCUGCUUUUCUUUUUAUUUAAUUGUUUUGUUGCUUCCAUCCACUAUAAAAUAUCUAGGCAUUUUAUAAAAAUGUGUUUAUUGCACCAUAUUUACAUAUGCAAAUUAUGGCACCGUCCGAACAUUUUUGUUUAAUAUUUUGAAAGCUUUUGUCGUUUGACUUAGUUAGGAUUUAAAUUUGAAUCGGUUUCGAAUUAACCCGAGAUUAACUACAGUGACAGAGGUGACGUGUCACCAUUAACGUGAAAUUACUGUAGCAUGAUUAUCCGGGCGUCACAACUAGACAACAAGUUGAGUGAGGUGGGGUGUGCAAGGGUUCAAGUCACAUUGCUCGAAUCAAUGAUAUUUAGCUCAUGCCUUAACUCGCGAAAUCUUGCUUCAUCCAAAGGCUUCGUGAAAAUAUCUGCAAGGUUACCAUGAGUGUUAACAUAGUUGAGCUCGAUCUCCCCUCGCCUAAUGUGAUCCCGGAUGAAGUGAUACCUAAUCUCAAUGUGCUUUGUCUUGAAGUGUUGCACCGGGUUGAGAGAAAUCUUGAUGGCACUUUCAUUGUCACACCAAAGAGGCACUUUGUCACAAGUGACACCAUAAUCCUUUAAAGUUUGCCUCAUCCAUAAAAGUUGUGCACAACAACUACCGGCGGCCACAUAUUCCGCUUCCGUGGACGAGAGAGAUACACAACUUUGCUUCUUGGAAGACCAACUCACCAAAGAGCAACCAAGAAAUUGGCACCCUCCAGAAGUGGACUUCCUAUCCACUUUGUUUCCCGCCCAAUCCGAGUCCGAAUAACCUACAAGCUUAAAGUUUGCUCCUCUUGGGUACCAAAGGCCAAAGUUUGGGGUAUGAGCCAAAUAUCGAAAGAUUCGCUUGACCGCCACAAAGUGACUUUCCUUAGGUGCGGCUUGAAACCGUGCACAAAUUCCCACACUCAACAUGAUUCUGGUCUAGAUGCACAAAGGUAAAGCAAGGAGCCAAUCAUGGAACGAUAUACCUUUUGAUCCACCACUUUACCAUUGGGAUCAAUGUCAAGUUGGCACUUGGUGGGCAUGGGAGUGGAAGCCGGCUUGACAUCACUUAGCUUGAAUCUCUUGAGCAUGUCUUGAGUGUAUUUGGAUUGGUUGAUGAAGGUUCCUUCUCUUCUUUGCUUCACUUCGAACCCGAGAAAGAACUUCAACUCUCCCAUGGAAGACAUCUCGAACUUUGAAGUCAUGAGAGCGGCAAAUUCCUCAUUGAAAGCUUUGUUAGGGGAACCAAAGAUAAUAUCAUCAACAUAUAAUUGGCACACAAACAACUCCCCUUUGACCUUCUUAGUAAAAAGAGUGGGGUCGAUUAGCCCAACUUCAAAACCACAGUCUUGUAACAACUCGGUAAGGUGGUCAUACCACGCACGUGGGGCUUGUUUAAGGCCAUAGAGUGCCUUAUCGAGUUGAUACACAUGAUCGGGAAAGUAGGGAUCCUCGAACCCAGGGGGUUGCUUGACAUAAACCAAUUAAUUAAUAGGACCAUUAAGAAAAGCACUCUUCACAUCCAUUUGUUGUAACUUAAAGUUAUGAUGAGAAGCAUAUGCAAUCAACAUGCGAAUGGAUUCAAGAUGAGCAAUGGGAGCAAAGGUUUCACCGUAGUCGAUACCCUCGACUUGGGAGUAGCCUUGUGUGAAGGAAAUAUGCCCUAGAGGCAAUAAUAAAGUUAUUAUUUAUUUCCUUAUUUCAUGAUAAAUGUUUAUUAUUCAUGCUAGAAUUGUAUUAACCGGAAACAUAAUACAUGUGUGAAUACAUAGACAAACAGAGUGUCACUAGUAUGCCUCUACUUGACUAGCUCAUUGAAUCAAAGAUGGUUAAGUUUCCUAGCCAUAGACAUGAGUUGUCAUUUGAUUAACAGGGUCACAUCAUUAGAGAAUGAUGUGAUUGAUUUGACCCAUUCCGUUAGCAUAGCACUUGAUCGUUUAGUUUGUUGCUAUUGAUUUCUUCAUAACUUAUACAUGUUCCUAUGACUAUGAGAUUAUGCAACUCCUGUUUACCGGAGGAACACUUUGUGUGCUACCAAGCGUCACAACAUAACUGGGUGAUUAUAAAGGUGCUCUACAGGUGUCUCCGAAGGUACUUGUUGGGUUGGCGUAUUUCGAGAUUAGGAUUUGUCACUCCGAUUGUCGGAGAGGUAUCUCUGGGCCCUCUCGGUAAUGCACAUCACUUAAGCCUUGCAAGCAUUGCAACUAAUAAGUUAGUUGCGGGAUGAUGUAUUACGAAACGAGUAAAAGAGACUUGCCGGUAACGAGAUUGAACUAGGUAUUGAGAUACCGACGAUCGAAUCUCGGACAAGUAACAUGCCGAUGACAAAGGGAUCAACGUAUGUUGUUAUGUAGUCUGACCGAUAAAGAUCUUCGUAGAAUAUGUGGGAGCCAAUAUGAGCAUCCAGGUUCCGCUAUUGGUUAUUGACCGGAGACGUGUCCCUGUCAUGUCUACAUAGUUCUCGAACCCAUAGGGUCCGCAAGCUUAAGGUUUCGAUGACAGUUAUAUUAUGAGUUUAUGAGUUUUGAUGUACCGAAGGAGUUCGGAGUCCCGGAUGAGAUCGGGGACAUGACGAGGAGUCUCUAAAUGGUCGAGACGUACAGAUCGAUAUAUUGGACGACUAUAUUCGGACAUCAGAAAGGUUCCGAGUGAUUCGGAUAUUUUUCGGAGUACCGGAGAGUUACGGGAAAUCACAGGGGAGUAUAUGGCCUUAUUGGGCCAUACGGGAAUAGAGGAGAGAGGCCAAAAGGAAGGAGGCACGCGCCCCCCCUCUGGUCCGAAUUGGACAAGGGGUGCAGCCCACUUUUCCUUGUUUCUCUCCCCCUCUUUCCUUCUCUCCUACUCCAACAAGGGAAGGAGUCCUACUCCCGGUGGGAGUAGGACUCCCCCCUUGGCGCGCCCUCCUCCUAGGCCGGCCGCCUCCCUCCCUUGCUCCUUUAUAUACGGGGGCAGGGGGCACCCCAGAUACACAACAAUUGAUCAUUGAUCUCUUAGCCGUAUGCGGUGCCCCCCUCCACCAUAGUCCUCAAUAAUAUUGUAGUGGUGCUUAGGCGAAGCCCUGCGGCAGUAGAACAUCAAGAUCGUCACCACACCGUCGUGCUGACGGAACUCUUCCCCGACAUUCUGCUGGAUCGGAGUCCGGGGAUCGUCAUCGAGCUGAACGUGUGCUAGAACUCGGAGGUGUCGUAGUUUCGGUGCUUGAUCGGUCAGGCCGUGAAGACGUAUGGCUACAUCAACCGCGUUGUGCUAACGCUUCCGCUUUCGGUCUACGAGGGUACAUAGACAACAAUCUCCCCUCUUGUUGCUAUGCAUCACCAUGAUCUUGCGUGUGCGUAGGAUUUUUUUUGAAAUUACUAUGUUCCCCAACAGUGGCAUCCGAGCCUAGGUUUUAUGCGUUGAUGUUGUGCACGAGUAGAACACAAGUGAGUUGUGGGCGAUAUAAGUCAUACUGCUUACCAGCAUGUCAUACUUUGGUUCGGCGGUAUUGUUGGAUGAAGCGGCCCGGACCGACAUUACGCGUACGCUUACGCGAGACUGAUUCUACCGACGUGCUUUGCACACAGGUGGCUGGCGGGUGUCAGUUUCUCCAACUUUAGUUGAACCGAGUGUGGCUACGCCCAGUCCUUGCGAAGGUUAAAACAGCACCAGCUUGACAAACUAUCGUUGUGGUUUUGAUGCGUGGGUAAGAACGUUUCUUGCUAAGCCCGUAGCAGCCACGUAAAACUUGCAACAACAAAGUAGAGGACGUCUAACUUGUUUUUGCAGGGCAUGUUGUGAUAUGGUCAAGACAUGAUGCUAAAUUUUAUUGUAUGAGAUGAUCAUGUUUUGUAACCGAGUUAUCGGCAACUGGCAGGAGCCAUAUGGUUGUCGCUUUAUUGUAUGCAAUGCAAUUGCGCUGUAAUGCUUUACUUUAUCACUAAGCGGUAGCGAUAGUCGUGGAAGCAUAAGAUUGGCGAGACGACAAUGAUGCUACGAUGGAGAUCAAGGUGUCGCGCCGGUGACGAUGGUGAUCAUGACGGUGCUUCGGAGAUGGAGAUCACAAGAACAAUAUGAUGAUGGCCAUAUCAUAUCACUUAUAUUGAUUGCAUGUGAUGUUUAUAUUUUAUGCAUCUUAUCUUGCUUUGAUUGACGGUAGCAUUAUAAGAUGAUCUCUCACUAAAUUUCAAGAUAAAAGUGUUCUCCCUGAGUAUGCACCGUUUCCAAAGUUCGUCGUGCCUAGACACCAGGUGAUGAUUGGGUGUGAUAAGCUCUACGUCCAUCUACAACGGGUGCAAGCCAGUUUUGCACCCGCAGAAUACUCAGGUUAAACUUGACGAGCCUAGCAUAUGCAGAUAUGGCCUCGGAACACUGAGACCGAAAGGUCGAGCGUGAAUCAUAUAGUAGAUAUGAUCAACAUAGUGAUGUUCACCAUUGAAAACUACUCCAUUUCACGUGAUGAUCGAUUAUGGUUUAGUUGAUUUGGAUCACGUGAUCACUUAGAAGAUUAGAGGGAUGUCUUUCUAAGUGGGAGUUCUUAAGUAAUAUGAUUAAUUGAACUUUAAUUUAUCAUGAACUUAGUCCUGAUAGUAUUUGCAUAUCUAUGUUGUAGAUCAAUAGCUCGCGUUUAGCUCCCCUGUUUUAUUUUUGAUAUGUUCCUAGAGGAAAAUUAAGUUGAAAGAUGUUAGUAGCAAUGAUGCGGAUUGGAUCCGUCAUCUGAGAAUUAUCCUCAUUGCUGCACAGAAGAAUUAUGUCCUUAAUGCACCGCUAGGUGACAGACCUAUUGCAGGAGCAGAUGCAGACAUUAUGAAUGUUUGGCUAGCUCAAUAUGAUGAGUACUUGAUAGUUUAGUGCACCAUGCUUAACGGCUUGGAAUCGGGGCUUCAAAGACAUUUUGAAUGCCAUGGAGCAUAUAAGAUAUUCCAAGAGUUGAAAUUGGUAUUUCAUACUCAUGCCCAUGUCGAGAGGUAUGAGACCUCUGACAGUACUUUGCCUAAAAGAUGGAGGAGAAUAGCUCAAGAAGUUAGCAUGUGCUCAAAUUUUUUGGGUACUACAAUCGCUUGAAUCAAGUGGGAGUUAAUCUUCCACAUAAAGUAGUGACUGACAGAAUUCUCUAGUCACCAUCACCAAGUUAGUAGAACUUCGUGAUUAACUAUAAUAUGCAAGGGAUAACGGAAACGAUUCCCAAGCUCUUCGUGAUGCUGAAAUCGACGAAGGUAGAAAUCAAGAAAAACAUCAAGUGUUGAUGGUAAACAAAAUCACUAGUUUCAAGUAAAGGGACAAAGGGAAGAAAGGGGAACUUCAAGAAGAACAGUAAGCAAGUUGCUGCUCAAGUGAAAAAACCCAAGUCUGGACCUAAGCCUGAAACUGAGUGCUUCUACUGCAAAGGGACUGGUCACUAGAAGCGGAACUACCCCAAGUAAUUGGCGGAUAAGAAGGAUCGCAAAGUGAACAAAGGUAUAUUUGAUAUACAUAUUAUUGAUGUGUAUAUUACUAGUGUUCGUAGCAACCCCUCAGUAUUUGAUACUGGUUCAGUUGCUAAGAGUAGUAACUCGAAACGGGAGUUGCAGAAUGAACAGAGACUAGUUAAGGGUGAAGUGACGAUGUGUGUUGGAAGUAGUUCCAAGAUUGAUAUGAUCAUCAUCGCACACUCCCUAUACUUUCGGGAUUAGUGUUGAACCUAAAUAAGUGUUAUUUGGUGUUUGCGUUGAGCAUGAAUAUGAUUUGAUCAUGUUUAUUGCAAUACGGUUAUUCAUGUAAGUUAGAGAAUAAUUGUUGUUCUGUUUACAUGAAUAAAACCUUCUAUGGUCACACACCCAAUGAAAAUGGUUUGUUGGAUCUCGAUCGUGGUGAUACACAUUUUUAUAAUAUUGAAGCCAAAAGAUGCAAAGUUAAUAAUGAUAGUGCAACUUAUUUGUGGCACUACCGGUUAGGUUAUAUUGGUGUAAAGCGCGUGAAGAAAAUCCAUGCUGAUGGGCUUUUGGAAUCACUUGAUUAUGAAUCAGUUGAUGCUUGCGAACCAUGCCUCAUGGGCAAGAUGACUAAGACUCCGUUCUCCAAAACAAUGGACCGAGCAACAGAUUUGUUGGAAAUCAUACAUACUGAUGUAUGUGGUCCGAUGAAUAUUGAGGCUCGCAGCAGGUAUCAUUAUUUUCUGAUCUUCACAAAUGAUUUGAGCAGAUAUGAGUAUAUAUACUUGAUGAAACACAAAUGUGAAACAUUUGAAAAGUUCAAAGAAUUUCAGAGUGAAGUGGAGAAUCAUCGUAACAAAAAUAAAAGUAUCUACGAUAUAUCGCAGAAGUAAAAUAUUUGAGUUACGAGUUUGGCCUUCAGUUAAAACAAUGUGAAAAAGUUUCACUACUCACGCCACCUGGAACACCAUUGCAGUGUAAUGGUGUGUCCGAACAUCGUAACCGUACUUUAUUAGAUAUGGUGCGAUCUAUGAUGUCUCUUACUGAUUUACCACUAUCGUUUUGGGGUUGUGCAUUAGAGACAGCUACAUUCACAUUAAAUAGGGCACCAUCUAAAUCCAUUGAGACGACACCGUAUGAACUAUGGUUUGGCAAGAAACCUAAGUUGUCGUUUCUUAAAGUUUGAGGUUGCAAUGCUUAUGUGAAAAAGUUUCAACCUGAUAAGCUCAAACCCAAAUCGGAGUAGUGCAUCUUCAUAGGAUACCCAAUAGAAAAUGUUGGGUAUACCUUCUAUCACAGAUCCGAAGGCAAGAUAUUCAUUGCUGAGAAUGGAUCCUUUCUAGAGAAGGAGUUUCUCUUGAAAGAAGUGAGUGGGAGGAAAGUAGAACUUGAUGAGGUAACUGUACCUGCUCCCUUAUUGGAAAGUAGUUCAUCAUAGAAAUCUGUUCUUGUGACUACUACACCAAUUAGUGAGGAAGCUAAUGAUGAUGAUCAUGUAACUUCAGAUCAAGUUACUACCGAACCUCGUAGGUAAACCAGAGUGAUAUCCGCACCAGAGUGGUAUGGUAAUCCUAUUCUAGAGGUCAUGUUACUUGACCAUGACGAGCCUACGAACUAUGAGGAAGCGAUGAUGAGCCCAGAUUCCGUGAAAUGGCUUGAGGCCAUGAAAUCUGAGAUGAGAUCCAUGUAUAAGAACAAAGUAUGGACUUUGAUUGACUUGCCCAUAGAUCGGCGAGCCAUUGAGAUUAACUGGAUCUUCAAGAGGAAUACGGACGCUGAUAGUAGUGUUACUAUCUACAAAGCUAGAAUUUUCGCAAAAAGGUUUUCGACAAGUUCAAGGUGUUGACUACGAUGAGAGUUUCUCACUCGUAUCUAUGCUUAAGUCUGUUUGAAUCAUGUUAGCAAUUGCCGCAUUUUAUGAAAUCUGGCAAAUGGAUAAACAAAACUGUGUUCCUUAAUGGAUUUAUUAAAGAAGAGUUGUAUAUGAUGCCACCAGAAGGUUUUGUCAAUCCUAAAGGUACUAACGAAAUAUGCAAGCUCCAGCGAUCCAUCUAUGGACUGGUGGAAGCAUCUCGGAGUUGGAAUAUGCGCUUUGAUAAGUUGAUCAAAUCAUAUAGUUUUAUACAGACUUGCGGUGAAGCUUGUAUUUACAAGAAAGUGAGUGGGAGCACUACAGCAUUUCUGAUAAGUAUAUGUAUGACAUAUUGUUGAUCGGAGAUGAUGUAUAAUUAUUCUGCAAAGCAUAAAGGAAUGUUUGAAAGGAGUUUUUUCAAAGAAAGACCUCGGUGAAGCUGCUUACAUAUUGAGCAUCAAGAUCUAUAGAGAUAGAUCAAGACGCUUAAUAAGUUUUUCAAUGAGUACAUACCUUGAUAAGAUUUUGAAGUAGUUCAAAAUGGAACAGUCAAAGAAGGAGUUCUUGCCUGUGUUACAAGGUGUGAAGUUGAGUAAGACUCAAAACCCGACCACGGCAGAAGAUAGAGAGAGAAUGAAAGUCAUUCCCUAUGCCUCAGCCAUAGGUUCUAUAAAGUAUGCCAUGUUGUGUACCAGAACUAUUGUAUACCCUGCCCUGAGUUUGGCAAAGGGAGUACAAUAGUGGUCUACGAGUAGAUCACUGGACAUUGGUCAAAAUUAUCCUUAGUGGAAUAAGGAUAUGUUUCUCGAUUAUGGAGGUGACAAAAGGUUCAUCGUAAAAGGUUACGGCGAUGCAAGUUUUGACACUGAUCCAGAUGACUCAAAGUCUCAAUCUGGAUACAUAUUGAAAGUGGGAGCAAUUAGCUAGAGUAGCUUAGUGCAGAGCAUUAUUGACAUAGAAAUUUGCAAAAUACUUACAGAUCUGAAUGUGGCAGACCCGUUGACUAAACUUCUCUCACAAGCAAAACAUGAUCACACCUUAGUACUCUUUGGGCGUUAAUCACAUAGUGAUGUGAACUAGAUUAUUGAAUAUAGUAAACCCUUUGGGUGUUGGUCACAUGACGAUGUGAACUAUGGGUGUUAAUCACAUGGUGAUGUGAACUAUUGAUGUUAAAUCACAUGGCGAUGUGAACUAGAUUAUUGACUCUAGUGCAAGUGGGAGACUGAAGGAAAUAUGCCCUAGAGGCAAUAAUAAAGUUAUUAUUUAUUUCCUUAUUUCAUGAUAAAUGUUUAUUAUUCAUGCUAGAAUUGUAUUAACCGGAAACAUAAUACAUGUGUGAAUACAUAGACAAACAGAGUGUCACUAGUAUGCCUCUACUUGACUAGCUCGUUGAAUCAAAGAUGGUUAAGUUUCCUAGCCAUAGACAUGAGUUAUCAUUUGAUUAACAGUGUCACACCAUUAGAGAAUGAUGUGAUUGAUUUGACCCAUUCCGUUAGCAUAGCACUUGAUCGUUUAGUUUGUUGCUAUUGCUUUCUUCAUAACUUAUACAUGUUCCUAUGACUAUGAGAUUAUGCAACUCCCGUUUACUGGAGGAACACUUUGUGUGAUACCAAACGUCACAACGUAAAUAGGUGAUUAUAAAGGUGCUCUACAGGUGUCUCCGAAGGUACUUGUUGGGUUGGCGUAUUUCGAGAUUAGGAUUUGUCACUCCGAUUGUCGGAGAGGUAUCUCUGGGCCCUCUCGGUAAUGCACAUCACUUAAGCCUUACAAGCAUUGCAACUAAUAAGUUAGUUGCGGGAUGAUGUAUUACGGAACGAGUAAAAGAGACUUACCGGUAACGAGAUUGAACUAGAGUAUUGAGAUACCGACGAUCGAAUCUCGGGCAAGUAACAUACCGAUGACAAAGGGAACAACGUAUGUUGUUAUGCGGUCUGACCAAUAAAGAUCUUCGUAGAAUAUGUGGGAGCCAAUAUGAGCAUCCAGGUUCCGCUAUUGGUUAUUGACCGGAGACGUGUCCCUGUCAUGUCUACAUAGUUCUCGAACCCAUAGGGUCCGCACGCUUAAGGUUUCGAUGACAGUUAUAUUAUGAGUUUAUGAGUUUUGAUGUAUCGAAGGAGUUUGGAGUCCCGGAUGAGAUCGGGGACAUGACGAGGAGUCCCGAAAUGGUCGAGACGUACCGAUCGAUAUAUUGGACGACUAUAUUCGGACAUCAGAAAGGUUCCGAGUGAUUCGGGUAUUUUUCGGAGUACCGGAGAGUUACGGGAAUUCGCCGUGUAUAUGGGCCUUAUUGGGCCAUACGGGAAUAGAGGAGAGAGGCCAAAAGGAAGGAGCCGCGUGCCCCCCCUCUGGUCCAAUUGGACAAGGGGUGCAGCCCACUUUUCCUUGUUCCUCUCCCCCUCUUUCCUUCUCUCCUACUCCAACAAGGGAAGGAGGAGUUCUACUCCCGGUGGGAGUAGGACACCCCCGUUGGCGCGCCCUCCUCCUAGGUCGGCCGCCUCCCUCCCUUGCUCCUUUAUAUACGGGGGCAGGGGGCAUCCCAGAUACACAACAGUUGAUCAUUGAUCUCUUAGCCGUGUGCGGUGCCCCCCUCCACCAUAGUCCUCGAUAAUAUUGUAGUGGUGCUUAGGCGAAGCCCUGUGGCAGUAGAACAUCAAGAUCGUCACCACACCGUUGUGCUGACGGAACUCUUCCCCGAUAUUCUGCUGGAUCAGAGUCCGGGGAUCGUCAUCGAGCUGAACAUGUGCUAGAACUCGAAGGUGUUGUAGUUUCGGUGCUUGAUCGGUCGGGCCGUGAAGACGUACGACUACAUCAACCGCGUUGUGCUAAUGCUUCCGCUUUCGGUCUACGAGGGUACGUAGACAACACUCUCCCCUCUCGUUGCUAUGCAUCACCAUGAUCUUGCGUGUGCGUAGGAUUUUUUUUGAAAUUACUACGUUCCCCAACAUUGUGCUACCAAACGAGCCUUGUUGCGAAUGAUAAUCCCAUGAGUAUCUUGCUUGUUCUUGAAUAUCCACUUGGUUCCAAUGACAUUGUGGUUCACCGUUGGCCUUGGCACCAAUCUCCACACUUUGUUACGCUCGAAGUUGUUGAGUUCUUCAUGCAUGGCAUUGAGCCAAUCCGGAUCUUCGAGCGCCUCAUAGACCUUUUGGGGUUCAACACAAGAGACAAACACGUGAUGUUCACAAUAGUUUGCUAAUUGUCUACGAGUGCUUACCACCUUUCUUAAGCUUCCAAGCACAUUCGUCAUGGGAUGAUCCUUGGUGGAGAGCUUGGAAGCAACCUUGGCGGCACGACGCUCCAAUUCCUCCUUGGGGGUGAGAUGAGGAGUGGUCACUUGAUCAUCUUGAGCGUCGUCUUGAGCUUGUUCUUGAUCUCAUGGAAGCUCUUGAUCUUGAACUUGCUCGGGAGAGGGAGCUUGACCUUGGGCAUCACUUGAUGUUACAACACCAUCUUGAGAUUGAUCUUGCCCUUGGUCUUGUUCUUGAGGUUGAGGGCCCUCACUUUGUUCUUCGGAAGCAUGUGGGUCUUGGGUUGGUGAAGGUUCCACUUGAGUAGAACAUUGUCCUUCUCCUUUGGUCACAAGGGGUUCCUCAAUGGGUAGGAUAUGACCAAUACCCAUUCUUCUUAUGGCUUGGGGAGGAACUUCAUCACCUACAUCACAAGUACCACUUUGCUCCACUUGGGAGCCAUUAUUCUCAUCAAACUCCACGUUACACAUUUCCUCAAUAAGUCCUGUGGACUUAUUGAGAACACGGUAAGCAUGAGAGUUUGUAGUAUGACCAACAAAUAUGCCCUCAUAAGCUCUUGCCUCAAAUUUAGACAAACAGACACCUUUCUUGAGAAUGAAACACUUACACCCGAACACCCGGAAGUACUUGAGGUUGGGCUUGUUACCGGUGAGUAUCUCAUAUGGAGUCUUGUUCAAGCCUUUGCGGAGGUAUAGCCUAUUAGAUGCAUGGCACACGGUGUUGAUGGCUUCGACCCAAAAGUUGUAGGGAGACUUGAACUCCGCCAUCAUGGUCCUUGUCGCAUCCAUCAACGUCCGGUUCUUCCUCUUCGCUACACCAUUUUGUUGAGGGGUAUAAGGUGUGGAAUAUUGAUGCUUGAUUCCCUCAUCACUCAAAAACUCAUCCAAGGUGUAGUUCUUGAACUCGGAGCCGUUGUCACUUCUUAUUGUCAAGAUCUUUGCAUUGUGUUGUCGUUGAUCUCCAUUUGCAAAGUCGAUGACAGUUUGUUGGGUCUCGCUCUUCCUCUUGAAGAAAUAUACCCAAGUGUAUCUUGAAUAGUCAUCUACAAUCACCAAGCAAUACUUUCUACCCCCAAGACUAUCAAAGGAUGGAGGUCCAAAGAGAUCCAAGUGAAGGAGCUCCAAAGGCCUCUUCGAGUAGAUGAUAGUCGUGGGAGGAUGAGCCUUCUCAUGUAGCUUUCCUUCGAUGCAAGCACUGCAAGCACGAUCUUUGGCAAAACUAACAUUUGUUAGUCCAUGGACAUGGUCCCCCUUGAGAAGAAUUUGCAAAGAUCUCAUAUUGACGUGGGCUAAACGGCGAUGCCAAAGCCAUCCCACGUCAACUUUAGACAUUAGGCAUGUCGCGGUCUUAGUGGGUCGCUUCAAAAAGUUAAUCACAUAGAGACCGUUCUCGACAUGCCCAACAAAGGCUACUUUAAGAGUCUUGCUCCACAAGAGGUCCACGGAAUCAACAUCAAAGAAAGUGGCAAAGCCCAUGAGUGCUAGUUGACGAACAAAAAGUAAAUUGUAUGCAAGGGACUCAACAAGCAUGACCUUCUUGAUCGUAAGAUCAUGAGAAAUGACAACUUUGUUGAGUCCCAAUACCUUAGAAGAUGAGGCAUCACCCCACUCGACAUUGGUGGGCAUGGAUGGAAUCUUUUGCAUGUCCACCACCAAGUCCUUGCUUCCGGUCAUAUGAUUAGUAGCUCCACUAUCGAGCAACCAUGAUCCCCCACCGGAAGCAAACACCUACAAGAGAUCAAUGCUUGGUUUUAGGCACCCAUUUGGUAAUGGGUCCUUUUAUGUUAGUAACAAGGGUCUUAGGAACCCAAAUAGACAAUUCAAUGUACUCAUACGGAGAACCAACAAAUUUGGCUUAAACAUGCCCAUCUCUAGCGCAGCACAACACAUAGGAAGGAUUAAAGUUGCCGGCUUUGUUGGGAAGGGAGCAUUUCCCUUCUUGGCAUCACUACUCCUCAUGAAGUUUUUCUCCUUCUCCUUAGUAGCACCCUCACCCUCCUUCACAAAGGUUUGCUUGAGAGGUGGAGGUCGUCUAGCCUUGUCAUUAGUCUUCUUGUUCUUGGACUUGGGCACGUACCCAAUCCCUUCCUUGCCCACAACUCCCUUUUGGUUGGUCAAGAGGUCGUUGAGGCUCUUCUCGCCUUGUAUGCAAGACACAAGACCUUUCUCAAGUUUCACCUUUAGCUUAGCGUUCUCCUCAACAAGAUGCACAUGCUCACAACACGGGUUAGUAGCAUUUGCAUUAUCAAUUAACAUCAUACGAGGAAAAGUGGCUUUCUCCUUGGUUAGCUUUACUUGAAGUUGAUCAUGAGACUCUUUGAGGCUAGCAUGAGCACCCUUCAAGACCUUGUGAGCCUUGUCAAGUAGAUCAAACUCCUCUUUGAGUCUAGCAAGAUCAACCCCAAGUUUGGCCUUCUCGGAGUUUAGCACACAAGAAAUAACAAGAGCAUGAUCAAAAUCUUUCUUUAACUUAGCAUGAUCAACAUUGUGUGACUCCUCAAGAGCCAAACAAGACCAUGCUCUUCCUCAAGAGCAUUGGAAAGAUCCAAAAUCUCAUCGGCAUAGUCACGACUAUGCCCCUCCAUCUUGGAGAUAGUAUCUUCAUGAGACUCGAUCAUGUCAUUGGCUUCACCAAGUUGUUCCAAGAGAGCAACAAAAUGCUUCUUGGACUUACCCUUGAGUUUACCCAUAAAGGACUCAAACUCAUUUUCCUCCACAUUAGAUCCCUCACAUUCAUCAAUGCAAUCCGUCAAGGAAGGAUUAUUAAUGAUGGUAGUUUUGAUGUUGGGAGUUACCUUGUUGGUGGCUUUAUCCAUGAGGCACUUGGCGGUGAUGUUCUCAUUGGGUGAGUCGAAGAGAGAUAUUUGUGGAGUUUUUGCAAUGGCAAUGGAGGCCAUGGCAACCGACUCACCAUCUUCAUCAUCAUCAUCAUCCUCAUGGUACUCUUCUUGAACCACCAACACCUUGUGAGGGGUUUUCUUGAAGUUGCUCUUGCUGGGGAAAGACUUGGCUUUAUCCUUUUCGAAUGAGCUUGCCACCAUUGUCUUCCCUCUUCUCAUAUGGGCACUCCGCAACAAAAUGACUCACAUUGCCACAAUUGUAGCAAGUCCUUACACAUUGCUUGCUAUUCGUGCCACUUGAGUUGUUCUUGUUGAAGUUUGGCCUUGAGUUCUUCUUGCUCCAAAAUUGCCUUGAAGCAAGUGCCAUGUGUUCAUGAUAGGCAAACUUUGUAUCUUCGGGGUUGCUUUCCUCUUCUUCCUCUUCUUCUUCUUCAAUGCAAACCUUGGCCUUCAAUGCAAGGUUGGGCUUCUUUCCCCUUUGAGAGCGAAGCACCGCAUUGUCGGCGGUCUUGUCCAGGAUGUUCAUAGCCACAAACUCAUCCAACACUUCACUUGAUGUCAAAGUGUGGAAGUCCGGCCUUUGACGAAUGACGAAGGACAUGGCCUUAUGGUAAGGCAUCAUUGCCUUGAGGAAUUUGCACUUGAUCCAAUUGUCAUCCGUGUCCUUGCUCACGUGAUCUCGGAGUGAGACCGUGAGUUUGGUUACUCUCCAAUAAAGCUCACGAGCUUCUUCAUCUUAUUUCAUAGCAAACUCAUCGGCUUCAUCUUGCACUACUUCAUAGUUGGAGCAUUGAAUGCUUGCGCUUCCCUGGUAGAGAGAGACAACACAAAGCCAUGCAUCUUUUUCCAAGGCGAAGGGCCAAAGAUGAGGUAGAUCUUCGGGUGGAAUUGCAUCUUGAAUGAUGAAGAGAGAAUUCUCAUUGAAUUGAUUAUCCGCGGCUUCUCGAGGAGUGAAGUUGCUUGGAUCAUGCGGAUGGAAACCUUCUUCAAUGAUUCUCCAAAGAUUAGUGUUCACACGAUUUAAAUGACACUUAAAGCGAUAAACCCAAGAAUCAAAGUCCUCAUUUUUCACAAUCUUAGGGGGAGGACCGGCAUGAUUCAAAUGAGUGGAAGGAAUCGGUCCACCAUAAAAAAAGUGGUGGUUCCACAUGGGCAAAGAUGUCGGUGCCAUUUUUACCACUAGAAGAAGGAGCCUUUUCACUACUAGCUUCCCCCUUGUUGGAGAUAGCAUCCGUCACCUUGUCGGUGGGAUCACCCACUUUCAACGGUGCAGCGGAUAGUUUAAGCCCUUCAAUGAAUUUAGUAAACAUGCUUUCAACCUCGGUCGUCAUUGAGGUUAUCAAUGUCUCCAAGGCUACAUUGAAUUCCUCAUGGGAGACCGAGGUUCCCCCAUCACCCAUAGACGAGAUCGGAUUUACACCGGAGUUCUCCUCCACACCGUCUACGCUGUCAACCAUACUCUUCGGACGGUAAAGUCCUUAGUAAAGAGAUGAGGCUCUGAUACCAAUUGAAAGGAUCGAUAUGGUUGACUAGAGGGGGGUGAAUAGGCAACUAAUAAUUUUUAACUUUUCUUUACCAAAUUCAACUUUGCAUCAAAGUAGGUUGUCUAGAUGUGCAACUAGGUGAGCAACCUAUAUGAUGCAACAACGAACAUACAAGCAAGCAAGAGAAGUAACACUAAUAAGCUUGCACAAGUAAAGGUAAGAGAUAACCAAGAGUGGACCCGGUGAAGACGAGGAUGUGUUACCGAAGUUCCUUCCUUUGAGGGGAAGUAUGUCUCCGUUAGAGCGGUGUGGAGGCACAAUGCUCCCCAAGAAGCCACUAGGGCCACCGUAUUCUCCUCACUCCCUCACACAAUGUGAGAUGCCGUGAUUCCACUAUUGGUGCCCUUGGAGGCGGCAAUCGGACCUUUACAAACAAGGUUGGGGCAAUCUCCACAACUUAAUCGAAGGCUCCCAACAACACCAUGAAACUUCACCAUAAUGGACUAUGGCUCCGUGGUGACCUCAACCAUCUAGGGUGCUCAAACACCCAAUAGUAACAAGAUCCGCUAGGUAUAGGUGGGGGAAUCAAAUAUCUCUUGGUGGAAGUGUAGAUCGGGGCCUUCUCAACCACUCCCGAGCAAAUCAACAAGUUUGAUUGGCUAGAGAGAUAGAUCGGGCGAAAAUGGAGCUUGGAGCAUUAAUGGAGCUUGAGGGGGAAGAGGUAGGUCAACGAAGAAGAAGGGGACCCCCCCUUUUAUAGUGGGGGUAACAAUCCGACCGUUACCCCACAAAAUAGCCCCGCAGAGGGCGGUACUACUGUAGUGGGCAGCUGUACUACCGCUGGACCCAGUGGUACUACCGCUCCCCCUUACGGUACUACCGCCCAGACAGAGAGAGCAUGAAGGCGGAGGAGGGGCUAGCCCGGUGCGGUACUGCUAGACAGACCCAGCACGGUACUGCCGCGGUGGCAGGGCGGUACUACUGCACCUACUGCCGUUGCAGGUGUCACUCAACCCGACACGAGAAGUGCCCCCCUCGAGUCGAGGCGGCAGUGGCCCGGUACCGCAGCGGUACUGCCGCUGAGGACGCACAAGCGGUACUACCGCUGGGGCUAAAGACAACUCAAUCUGCAGGGAAAAAGACCUCCAACGACGCGGGAAGGCCCAGAGGGUGCGAAACGAAAGUGUACGUGAUGAUUCCACCCUAGUCAUACCAAAGCGGACCCCCUCUUGAUAGUACGAUGACUCCUAAGAAACUAGUCCACCAACAAGAAACGAAAGAGCUACACCGUCUUGAAAAACACUCCGAGGGGAAAGAAAUCGUCUCGAGCCAAAGGAUGAAUCUCUGAAACGCUCAACGCACAAGGUUAGUCCGCAAAUAUGUUGUCAUCAAUCACCAAAACUACAUCGAGAGAGAUAUGCCUUAACAAGUGCCUUUGCAUGAAAAAGAGCUACUACUACAAUUCCCACACUUUUCUCAGCAUGCUAGGAAUAGUAGUAGCAAGCUUAGGUGAAACGCAUUGUUGCUAAGUUGGUUGUAGCAGCGCUUUUUCUGGGAGAAGCGCUACUGCUAAUGAAAAUAGAAUAAAAUGAAAAACAAAUACAAAAGUAAAUGAAAAUAAAAGAAAUAAAAAAAGGAGAAAGGAAAAAAGAAAAUAUAAAGGAAAAUAAAAGAAAAAGGAAAAUAAAUGAGAAAGGCAUAGCAGUAGCGGGCUUUCACAACAAGCGCUAUAGCUAAUGUAGCAGUAGCGCAUUCCUUGUACCCCCGCUAUAGAUAAUUUCCUUAAAUAAAGAAGAAAGGAAAAAAGAAAAGUAAAUAAAAAAAGGAAAAGGAAAAGGAAAAAGGAAAAUAAAAAUAAAUAGCUACUGCCUAUAGCAGUAGCGCGUUUUGGCAGCCAGCGCUAUAGCUAAGUUAGCUAUAGCGCUUUUCUGCGCCAUCGCUACCAUUACUCUUGACUUAACCCCCGCGCGGUUUUUCUCCCCCGCGACCACUUCCCCCAAAUCCCCCCUUUGCUAUCGCCGCCGUCGUCACCCUACAAUGUCGUCGCCCGUCGGUCGCCGCGCGCCCUCCCGUCGCCCUCUGCACGUCGUCUGCUACCCUCGAUGGCCGUCUGGUGCUCGCCCUCCACCGCGCGCCCGAGCCCUGACCCCGACCUCGACGCCGCGCGCCCCCUCCCUCGGCCGCUCUGCCUCCUCCUGCCCGAGGUGAGCACGCCUACACUUGCUCCUCCUCCCCUACAUCUGCCCAGCUAGGGUUCAUUAAAUUUUAGGGUUCAUCAAAUUAGCUAGGGUUCAUCUAAUUAGUUAGGGUUCAUCAAAUUAGCUAGUACUUGUACAUGCUUAAGUAGUUCUAUAGUUGUUGUGCACCCAAUGUAGUUAACUAAAUCUAAUUUCUAGGACAAAUUUGUAUAUGCUUAAGUAGUUAACUAAAUAUUUUUAGGACAAAUUUGUAUAUGCUUAAGUAUUUAACUAAAUAUAUUUUAGGGUUGUAUAGUUGCUUAAGUACUUGUAUAGUUGUUCUGCACCCAAUGUAUGCUUAAGUAGUUGUAUAAUUCCUGGGGUUCAUCAAUGGGUGCUUAAAUAGUUGUAGAUGCUUAAGUAGCUAGCUAGGGUUCAUCUAAUUAGUCAGUACUUGUAGAUGCUUAAGUACUAGGGCAGUAGGGUUUAACUAGAUGUCAAUUAGGGCAAUAGGAUUUAAUGUAGAGAGAAAAUUCAAUAUAAAAAUAAAAAUUUCUACUAGUGCUGCAAGUCCAGUAGGUUCUUGAUUUUUACUAAUUUUUUAUUAUGACAGAAAUUUAGGACAUAAUUUGAAUUGAGUUCUAGGGUUCAUAAUUUGAAAUUUAGGACCGAAAUUGAGUCCUAGGGUUCAUAAUUUAUAUUAGGACGACAAUUUUGGACAGAAAUAUGUAAAGGUUCUAGGUUUUUAGGGUUCAUCCAUCUAUAUUUGGUUUUUGAAUUGAGUUUGAGAGAGCAUGAGAUCUGUGUAGAUUUUCUUGAAGUGUCAAACACCAGGAGAUGCAAAUUUGAAGUGGUCAUGUUAUAUGCAAAUUCCUUAAUAGUGUUUUCUCAUGUAUAUCUACUGUUGUAGUUGCUCAUGUACAAGUUCUUAAGUGGUCCUGUUAUAUGCAACAUUGAAGUGGUUCGAUUGUGCCCAAGUGGCCUUUUGUUGUUUGCAUGGAAUGAUUCCGAGUGGCCUAUGUUUUGCGAAAUGUUGAUUCAUUUCUGUUCCGACAAAUUUCUGGCGCUUGAUUUUUCCACUUUGUAGCAAAGGUCAUGCCAAAAUUUUCCAUGAAUUUCGGCAUGACUUGUGCUACAAACUAGGACAUACCGAGUGCCCGGGAUUUGCCGCAACGGGAAUGAAUCAACAUUCCUGGAAAAUAUAGGUCUUUUUAUGUCAUUAUUUAAUUUAUUAGGUCUAGAAUUAAUUGACUAGAUUUAAUCAUAGGAAACAUGGCUAGAAACGAUGAAGGACAUGGUUCUGGUGAUUGCAACGUCUAUGAGGCGGCAGACGCCUAUUUGAACUAUCUCGAGGAGCAACAGUUGUUGCAGUGCCCACCUGUCACAUCCGAGACUCCGACGCUCUACGUGGUUAACUUACCGCAGCAAAGGUUGUACGUCAACACAUUCCCCACGGAAAAGUUCUUCCUUCGAUUUGAUUACAUCUUCCACAUGUUUCACUUGAAAAACCUGGAUUUUACGUUUGUUCGCCUUUUUCCUUAUACAUGAACUACAUUAUCAGGAUUGAGCAAAUACCUUAUAUCUGUGUCGCUGACCCGUACUUCAUGCACGAGGGCUUCUUGGCAGUCUGCCCAAAGCACCAUGAAUACGCGAGUAACUACAUCGCCGAUUUCAUGGUCAGCAAUAAGGACAAGGAGAUGAUUCUCGUGUGUUAUCAUCGCAUGUAAGUCAUCCGCGGAUACCCUUCCUUCGAUUUCACUCAUUUUUUUGCAUGUGUGGAGGCUAAUUUGAGGUGUACUUAUUUUGCGCAGUGACGGGCGCGUCGUUCUCAGCAUCCUUUACCCCCGGUUCUCCCACGCGCUUUACUUGGACUCGUCAAAGAACAUGAAGAAAAAGGAUUACACCCACAUCAAGUCUGUUCUCGACAGUGCUCUCUUAAGCUACGACCUACCGGGUGGAGAGAUCAUGCUCAAGAAGACAAGGUACCGUGUGCCCGCCUUCGGCCAUAAGACCGACUUCUGCUGCAUCCAUCAACUGAGUGGUACUCUCAGUGAUGGAUUCUAUGUCCUCCACCACAUGCUGGAGUACAGACCGGAUCAGCAGAACUUCGCGUGUCACCUAAAAUUAGGAGAUGUCCCGGAUCAUCAACUCCGAGCUGAGUUCUAUCACAUCCAGCGUGAACUUGCCCAAAUCAUCAUGAAGGAGGUCCUAAAAAAUAGGGUUGUUCUACGAAGAAGGGCAAAUGUCGCGGGAAGACGUCCGAACAUGCGUAGCCGCUCAGCGUCUUGACCUGAAGCCUUUCACUACGCUCGGGGAUUAUCUCCCUGAUUUGGAUGGAUGGCACGACAUGUUGGAGUGAUUGACAAUAUAUGACAAUGUUUUUGUUUAGUCCAUACUUUCUCUAUGACGAAACUUUGAGUUAUGCACGACGAAACUUUGUGAUUUAAUUAAACUGUCCUCCUCAACUAGCGAAGAUCACUCUAGUUAGGGCAUUUUGGGUACGAUGAACUUUGUUAUUUAUGCUUAUGAUAUGUUGCUUCUAAUUUUGUCAACUCUGUCUCUUUCUGUUGCUCAACUAUAUAUGUUGCAUAUUAUCAACUCAUGUGACGAUGCAGAUACAUAGAUCAUCGAUGGCGAAGAAGUGCUAUGCCAGGAGUAUACGCCGAGUGGCCUGAGUGUCAGGCCCAGGUGUACCGGUUUCCGAGCGACAACCAGAGAGGGUUCGAUAGCAGAGCUGAAGCGGAAAAUAGUUAGUUUAGGUUCACGCUAAUGCGAGAGAGGGAUCUGAACCGGCGCCUCAAGAAGUACUACAUUAUGUAUGACGAGACAUGUCAGUUAACUUGUAUCGCUAUAUCGUGAUUAUGAUAUGAUGACAUGAUUUGUGCUGGAUGAUAUGAUGAGACUAUUAUGUGUAUGAUAUGAUGAGCAUAUUGCAUAUUUAUGGUAUGAUUAGAAUACUGUAUAAAACCUAUACAAAAACAUCGCAAAUAUGUAAAAAAAAUGUGAAAAUAUAGUAGUAGCGCUCUUUAGCGCUGGACAGGAAAACACUACUGCUAAGCCACUUAGCAGUAGCGCUGGUAUGGACAACGCUACUGCUAAGUAGGUAUAGCAGUAGCGCUACUACAUUAUGUAUGAUGAGACAUGUCAGUUAACUUGUAUCGCUAUAUCGUGAUUAUGAUAUGAUGACAUGAUUUGUGCUGGAUGAUAUGAUGAGACUAUUAUGUGUAUGAUAUGAUGAGCAUAUUGCAUGUUUAUGAUAUGAUUAGAAUACUGUAUAAAACCUAUACAAAAACAUCGCAAAUAUGUAAAAAAAUGUGAAAAUAUAGUAGUAGCGCUCUUUAGCGUUGGACAGGAAAACACUACUGCUAAGCCACUUAGCAGUAGCGCUGGUAUGGAAAACGCUACUGCUAAGUAGGUAUAGCAGUAGCGCUGGUCAAAAUGUGUGUGACGCCCCGAUUCCGACGCGCCAGGUGUCUUUCAGUUAUUCGUUAUUGUUGCCUUGUCUUUUGCUUGCGUGUUGUAUUUCAUCAUGUCACCUUUUCCAUCGCAUCAUGCCAUCAUUUCUUUAAUUUUAUAACUUUUAUAAAUAAAUUGCAUGGAUCUUCGGUCCAUUUAAAUCGAGGGAAUGCACAUGGUGUUUUUCUCUUUAUAACAUAUAUCCUCCCAAUAUUAUUAGGGAGCUAUAAAAUAAUAUUCCAUUAGUUUGGAAUUAACCGCAAACACACUUGCAAUUUAAACUCUCAAGUCUAUUCUGCUUCGAGUUGCUCCUCAAACCUUGCCAUAUUUUUUUCAUCAUUUUCUGGAGCUCCAUCAAAAAUCCGAACAUUUUUGGACCUUCCUAACCCUCACUUCCUAUUCGAACCUUUUGAAUUCAAAUCAAAUGAGUUUGAAUUUAAACUUUGAAAUAUGCCCACUCCAUUUUUCUUGGAUCGUACUCAUUUUAUGAGUCCGGGAAAUUUAACCGCAUACCCAAAUUCUUUCUCUAACUCCCCCCCCUCUUCCUUUUUCUCCUCUCUAUGCUUUCUGUUAAAGGGAAUAUAUAUAUAUAUAUAGAGAGAGAGAGAGAGAGAGCAGAGCCCAGCUGGUCACUUGGGCCUCCUAGCUAGGCCGGCCCAUUGGCCCAGCCGCCCUCAACCCUAGCCGAUCGCCCUUGGUCCCUCCUAGCCUCGCCAGAGGGAUCGAGAGAUCCCUCGACCUCUCCCCUCUGCCCGAUUCCCCAACCUCUCCUCCCGUCCUCCCCGCGCCUGGCCCUCUCCUCCCAGUGCCUUCGCGAGUGCCAGGGAUGCCGCCCGCUCCCUGCAGUCGCCCCUCGCCGGAUCCUGCAGGCCGCCGCCCGGUUCCCUCGCGCCCCGCCGGAUCUCCAUCCUCACGCCGGCGAGCAUGACGCCCUCCGCGCGGCCCCCCUUCCUCUGCUACUCCUCCUUCUCUGUUGCGUCUCUGCUCCAUCGCCGGACUGCUGCCCUCCGUUGCGCCCAUCCAUCCUUCCAUCUCCCUGUGUCGCGCCUCGACGACACAGAGGCCCGAGCUUCGGCCGGGAGCAGCCGCAGCUACGUGGCGCCCGCCACCAAGCAGUCGUGCAUCAACGGCCAUCUCUCCGCCGCCUCCUGCCUAGCUUGCAUCCCCGUCGCUCCUCCUCGGCUUCUGUGUGGACCUCGUCCCGAAGACCCCAGGACACAGCUCCGGUCUCUUGUACCCGUGCUGCACCACCACGACCCGAUGACGCCCUGCCCGGCGUGCUUGCGCGCCCAAUGGUGACCUCCACCGCGGACCUAUUCGCGUGAAGCCCCUACUCCUCCACCAUCAGUGUCCGGCGACUCCGUUCCGUGCCUUGCUGCUGCUGCAGGCCAUGAGCUCUCCGGCUACCGCAGGAACGCCAUGGUCAAGACCACCUCCGCGAGGAACGCAAGACGCAUCCUCCAUGCACCCCCGCUUGUGGCUGUUAACGUCAAGACCAUCCCGGUUUUUCGCCAAGCACCACCACCGGCAAGUACAACUACACCACGUCGAUACAAGUCCCACUACCGUCGCCUCCGGAAGCCUCGGAUCCGUCAAGUCCCUCGACGACAAGUGCAUGACUAUAUGGAUUGUAUCAAGUACCCCCCUUCGAGUUGACGAUAUCGGCAAGUGCGAAACACCAAGUACCACGACGACCAUCGAUAUGUACCCCUACACUAAAACGCCGAGUACCUCGCCGUGACUCCGAACAUCUACGAAAACUUGUGCGACUACGAACGUGAUCAACUACCGUCGCCAUGGAUACGACAAGUUUGCAAGUACAACUACUUCCUCAACGACCCGCGAGAACCGCUACUUUCACUACCGUCGCGAGAACAACUACUUCCCUCGACGUACCCGAAACGCUCCGAGAAUGCACCCUUGGAAGGUAUAACCAUCAAGACAACCGCCCGUGGACCGAAUGCAUGUUUGUAUGUUGUAUCCGCCCGUGAACGUUAGUUGUUCCUCCUCGUUGGCACGCCGUCGAUCCGUGGGAACCCGGUAUCCGGGAUCACCCCACCAUCCUUGCAUGACACGCUCCCGUCGCCUUUUCUUUUGCCCCGGCAUCUCAAUCGAGUUACCGGAACCGGAACAUUGCCGUGGCACCAUUUCCGUUGGCGUUGCCGUGGCACCCCUUUCGUCUCCGCCACGAUGACAAAUGAUUCAUAUAAUGCUCUUAUCAACAUUUUAAUCAAACUUGCAUAAACUUGCAUAGGUCAUCCACAUCAUGAUAACAACAUUUAAAUGUUUAAAAUUGUUGUUUGCAUUAAUUUGCAAAUGCAUAUGGGGUUUGUCGAAUUUGUUGUUUGUUAUAUCCGGCCCCAUUUAAAUUGUUUAGAUAGUAUAGUUUUCUUAUGCUUCACCCUCUUGCCAUGUUUAACAACAUUUAGUAUUGAUGGGUACAUAAACGGGAGAGAACUAAAUAAGCCACGUGGUGUUCCGUCAAUAUGCAACUCGUUGCAUAUUGGGCUCCACUUAACUUGUAGUUUUGUUUGUGCACUUUGCCAUGCCAUGCAUAUUUAAACUGGACAUGCAUCAUACUUGAUUGUGCAUCAUGCCAUGUUUAUGUGAUGGUUGUUUACUUUGUUGCUUGUUUCUUUCCGGGUUGCUCUCUCGUUAGCUUCGAUUUUGUUCCGGAGUUGUGAGGAUUCGUUCGACUAUGUCCAUUUAUCUUCUUCAUGGAAUCGUUCUUCUUCCUUGCGGGAUCUCAGGCAAGAUGACCAUACCCUCGAAAUCACUUCUAUCUUUGCUUGCUAGUUGCUCGCUCUAUCGCUAUGCCGCGAUACCUACCACUUGCUAUAUCAUGCCUCCCAUAUUGCCAUGUCAAACCUCUAACCCACCUUUUCUAGCAAACCGUUGUUUGGCUAUGUUACCGCUUUGCUCAGCCCCUCUUAUAGCGUUGCUAGUUGCCGGUGAAGAUGAAGUUUGUUCCAUGUUGGAACAUGGAUAUGUUGGGAUAUCACAAUAUCUCUUAUUUAUAUUAAUGCAUCUAUAUACUUGGUAAAGGGUGGAAGGCUCGGCCUUAUGCCUGGUGUUUUGUUCCACUCUUGCCGCCCUAGUUUCCGUCAUACCGGUGUUAUGUUCCUUGAUUUUGCGUUCCUUACACGGUUGGGUGUUAUGGGGACCCCUUGACAGUUCGCUUUGAAUAAAACUCCUCCAGCAAGGCCCAACCUUGGUUUUACCAUUUGCCUCACCACCACCUACUUUUCCCUUGGGAGUCGCGCUCCCAAGGGUCAUCUUUAUUUUAAGCCCCCCCGGGCCAGUGCUUGUCUAAGUGUUGGUCCGAACUGAGUAGACUGCGGGGCCACCUCGGGGGAAACUUGAGGUUUAGUUUUACUCGUAGGAUGUCUCAUUCGGUGUUGCCCUGAGAACGAGAUAUGUGCAGCUCCUAUCGGGAUGUCGGUGCAUCGGGCGAUCUUGCUGGUCUUGUUUUAUCAUUGUUGAAAUGUCUUGUAACCGGGAUUCCGAGUCUGAUCGGGUAUUCUUGGGAUAAGGAAUAUCCUUCGUUGACCGUGAGAGCUUGUGAUGGGCUAAGUUGGGACACCCCUGCAGGGUUUUGAACUUUCGAAAGACGUGCCCGCGGUUAUGGGCAGAUGGGAAUUUGUUAAUAUCCGGUUGUAGAGAACUUGACACUUAACUUAACUAAAAUGCAUCAACCGCGUGUGUAGCCGUGAUGGUCUCUUUCCGGCGGAGUCCGGGAAGUGAACACGGUUCUUGUGUUAUGCUUGAACGUAAGUAGUUUAGGAUCACUUCUUGAUCACUUCUAGUUCACGACCGUUGCAUUGCUUCUCUUCUCGCUCUUAUUUGCGUAUGUUAGCCACCAUAUAUGCUUAGUGCUUGUUGCAGCUCCAUCUCAUUACCCUAUCCUACCCAUAAGCUUAAAUAGUCUUGAUCUCACGGAUGUGAGAUUGCCGAGUCCUCGUGGCUCACAGAUACUUCCAAACAGUUGCAGGUGUCGACGAUACCAGUGCAGAUGACGCAACCCAGCUCCAGUGGGAGCUCGAUGAAGAUCUUGUUCGUUGUGUUGUUUCAUUUCCUGUUGAUCAGUAGUGGAGCCCAAUCGGGUCGAUCGGGGAUCUAGCAUUUGGGAUUGUCUUUAUUUAUGUUGGUUCCAUAGUCGGACCUUGAUUGUAUUCUGGAUGAUGUAAUGCUAUAUUUAUGUAUUGUGUGAAGUGGCGAUUGUAAGCCAACUCUUUAUCCCUUUUUUAUUCAGUACAUGGGAUGUGUAAAGAUUACCCCUCUUGCGACAUGCCUACCAUGCGGUUAUGCCUCUAAGUUGUGCUUCGACAUGUGGGAGAUAUAGCCGCAUCGUGGGUGUUACAAUGUGUUACUGCUAAAUGUUAGCUUUAGCGCCGUAUCAGUAGCUAGCCCUUAGACUUGCGCUACUGCUAGGCUUUUCCCUAGUAGUGUUGGGAUUCUCUCUUUUGUGAUUUGUGAAUUUUGAUAGAGCCUGUGUUUGGGGAGAUGGAUUACGUUGAGAGGCAAAACGCUAAUUAAGAGAGAGAGGUUAAUUAAUGGCGAUUAAGAUGGGAGUGUGCCUUGCGUGAUUGUGGGAGUUGGCCACGCAGGGCGUGGGGGUGUUUUCCUCCGCGCUGGAGUACAGUCAGUCAAUGCACGCGGAAAAUAGAUUAGGAUAUGGCGGCUGCUACAAAUAAGUCGGAUGAUUUCCCCAGGAAAUCAUCCGGCUAGCCAGCCGUCCGAUCUGGCGCCUGUUUUGUUCGAUGGCAGCAGCCUGUCCCCGAUCCAUACCGCGUCCUCCUUUGUAGUGAUGAAGGUGCAACAGCCCCUUGUCAAAUCCACACCGCGCCUCCUCGAACACAAGGUUGGUGCAGCAAAAACAAUGGAUUGGCAACGGCGUCGGCGACCUCUCAGCACCGAAGCCGGCGGAGAUGCUGCUUCAUAGCUCCAAAAGAGUCGUCGGCGUCCCGCUCCAUCAUAGCGCCGAGACUCACCGAGGGGCUGCAGUGACGACACCCCGACGAAGCUCCAGUGCAGCUCCAUGGAAGCACCGUCGACGCCGGCGAAGCUGCAUUGCAACCCCGGCGACGCUGCAUUGCAGCUCUGGUGGAGCUCCAUUGCAGCCGCGACAAAGCUCGAACAACCCCGGCGACUCCCAUUGCAGUCGCGGCGAAGCGCCAUUGCAGCAACAAAGAAGCUCCGACGACCCCCGGCGACCCUCCAUUACAUCCCGGCGGCGCUCCAUUGUAGCUCUAGUGGAGUUCCAUUGCAGCCACGACGAAGCUCGAACGACCCCAACGCUGCUCCAUUGCAGCCACGGCUGACGGCGGAGCUCCGACGACCCUUAAUUGCAGCCACGGGCGCACUCAUUGCAUCGCCGAUGAUGACAACGGAUGUUGCGACGCAGCAUGCGACAGCCAUGGCGGAAGCUGCGACGACAGCGGAAUCUGCGGUGGAGCGUGGGGAUGCUGCGAUGCAACUCCGGUGAGGCUCUAUUGCAGCCCCGACGGUGUGAGGAUGAAUGGCCAUGGGCCGACGGCCGUCACCUCCUCCGCUACGGUGAAACUGCUUAGAACAAGAGAAGGGAAAGGAAAAGAAUCGAUGGAGGAUAUGUUUAGUGGAAGAAGAUAAGGUGUAGGCGAUUGGAGUGGUGGGUGGGCCCCCACAGCGCCACGUGUAGCACGGGAAGAGCGGCUUACGGGAGAGAGUUAUCAUCCGACUUAAUCUAAACGCUUUCCUUAGGAUAUGGCUAGCCGUUAGGUGAGUUUAGUGGGCCUAAUCAUGCGGUGGUAAUUAGUCUGUGUAUAUUUUGUUGGGUAUGUUUAAAGAAAAUUUUGUUUGUUCUUUUGUAAGUAAUGUAGAUUGAUACCUUUUUUUAGAUAUAAGAUUUGGUUAUUUUUUUAGUCUACUUUUUUUUGAGAAACAAGCCUCUUUUGAGUCUAGAUAAGAUUGAUUUUUUUUAGAACUUCUAGAUAAGAUUGAUUUUUUUUUUGAGACAAAGAUAAGAUUGAUACGUUGUCUUGAAACCUAAUAACAUCCAACAAAGAAGAGAUGGGCCAGCCCACCCAGUCCUGAAGCCUGAUAUCCGAAUUGCACUUGGGAGGCCUUCUCCGAGUCACAGGAAGAGUCGGUCCGCGUAACAAGGGCCAGCCCACCCAGCUGCCGACUUACUUAACCCAGGCUCCUGGCAACCUCCCUAUCCCUUUUCCCCAAAAUAAUACGGUACCACAAGUCGAACCAAACCCUAGCUUCUCCUCAUCGAUCCCCGAUCCCCAUCCGGCGACUCGCCGGAACCCUAGCCCAGAUCCGCGGCAACUCCGCCGCACCAGCCAUGGGGACCCUCAGGGAGAUCCUGCCGUCGCCCAAGACGUCGUCGUCCACCUUCUACGACCACAGCAGCGACCCGUGGUUCAAGGAGCGGUACGGCGGGGAGCCCGCGGAGGCGGCGGCGGGGAAGCUUGCGGGCCCCGCCAAGCCCGUGCCUCCCUACGGCAAGCGCACCGGCUUCGUGCCCCGGCGGCCGGAGGACUUCGGCGAUGGCGGCGCCUUCCCCGAGAUCCUCCUCGCGCAGUACCCGCUCGGCAUGGGCCGCCGCGACGACAAGGGCGGGUCCAAGAUCCUCGCGCUCACCGUCGACGCGCAGGGCAGCGUCGCCUUCGACGCCGUCGUCAAGCAGGGCGAGAACGCCAAGAAGAUCGUCUACUCCAAGCACAGCGACAUCGUGCCCAAGAUCGCCACGGCCGACUCGGAAGCCGUCGAGGACGAGGAGUACGACAAGGAGGUCGAGGAGACCAAAGAGCGGACCGUAGCUGCCCUGCAGAAGAUUGUCAACGUCCGCCUCUCUGCUGCCCAGCCCAAGAACGUUCCGACGCAUGAUUCGGAAUCAAAGUUCAUCAAGUAUAAGCCGUCGCAGCAGUCGGCAGCGUUCAAUUCAGGUGCCAAGGAGAGGAUUAUUAGGAUGUCGGAGAUGGCUUCGGAUCCUCUUGACCCACCAAAGUUCAAGCAUAAGCGGGUGCCCCGUGCGUCUGGGUCGCCGCCUGUGCCCGUGAUGCACUCGCCACCACGGCCCGUCACAGUGAAGGACCAGCAGGAUUGGAAGAUCCCACCUUGCAUUUCAAAUUGGAAGAAUCCAAAGGGUUACACAAUCCCACUCGACAAGAGGUUGGCAGCUGAUGGGAGGGGGCUGCAGGAGGUUCAGAUUAAUGAUAACUUUGCAAAGCUUUCAGAAGCAUUGUAUGUUGCAGAGCAGAAGGCGAGGGAAGCAGUGCAGAUGCGCUCCAAGGUGCAGAGGGAGCUAAUGCUAAAGGAGAAGGAGAGGAAGGAGCAAGAGCUGAGGGCACUUGCACAGAAGGCCCGCAUGGAAAGGUCUGGUGCUCCACCUCCAUCUACAGGUAUGCCUGUCGGAGGUGGGAGGGAGAGAGAGCGGGAGAGGGUUGUUGAUGAUGGGGAUGCAGAUAUGGAUUUGGAGCAGCCACGUGAGCAGCGCAGGGAAACUAGAGAAGAGAGGGAGGCGAGGAUUGAGCGUGACAGGAUCCGUGAGGAGCGGAGGCGUGAGAGGGAGAGGGAGAGGAGGCUGGAGGCAAAGGAGGCUGCUGGAACGCAUAAAAAGAGUAAGCUCACUAGAGACAGGGACCGUGACGUUGGUGAGAAGGUGGCCCUGGGUAUGGCACACACUGGUGCGAAGACCGGGGAAGUCAUGUAUGACCAGAGGCUCUUUAACCAGGACAAGGGAAUGGACUCUGGUUUUGGUGCUGAUGAUCAGUACAACCUGUAUUCGAAGGGCCUCUUCACAGCACAGUCCAGUAUGUCCUCACUUUACAGGCCCAAGAAGGAUGGUGAUUCUGAAGUGUAUGGUGGUGAUGCCGACGAACAGUUGGAGAAGGUUAUGAAGACAGAGAGGUUCAAGCCUGACAAGGCAUUUACCGGUGCUCCAGAGAGGGCUGGCAAGAGAGAUAGACCCGUGGAGUUUGAUAAGCAAGAGGAGGCUGAUCCAUUUGGUCUUGAUCAGUUCUUGACUGAGGUGAAGAAGGGAAAGAAAGCUGUGGACAAGAUUGGUGGCGGAGGAACUAUGAAGGCAAGUGGUGGAUCUUCAAGGGAUGAUUACGAGGGUGGGGGGUCUGGGAGGUCUCGCAUUAACUUCGAAAGAGGAGGGCGUUGAGGUAUUUGCAGUGCACAUUUAUCUUCUGCAAUUUUCAUGUCCUCAGUGCAUUUUCAAAUAUCAUCCCGAAGGAUUUCUUUGGAGAAUAUGAUCCUUCUUACACAAGGAAGAACGCAAAUAUCAUCCUGAAGGAUUUCUUUGGAGAAUAUGAUCUUUCUUGCAGAAGGAAGAACCUGAUGCUUUAGUUGCUGUGAUAUGGCUGCUUGUUCUAUUUCAACCGGAGUGUUAAACGGUGUACUUACUUAUUAGAUCCUACGAUGCUUGUAUGCUGUGUAUCUUUGUGACGGGAUCCAUGAACUUUGUCGUUGCACAUGUUACAUAGGCUCAUCCAUGCCCUGUUAAUUUCAAAGCUGUAUCGAAGUCGUAAUAUAUCUGGCUGAACUGGGUAUAUGUGUCAUCUCUUGUUUAUCAUGCUUACUGGUUGGAUGAGUUUGUGGUCGUUUUCCAAAAUAAGCAGGGAGAUGUUUGAAGAAGAAUGCCCUUCAACCUUGCUUGCGCUUGUUUUAUUCAUUUG